RNAcentral lists this long non-coding RNA (61150 nucleotides) under Malus domestica (apple). RNAcentral describes it as "long non-coding RNA (MDOM_LNC009457)". The record is from RNAcentral. Lineage: Eukaryota; Viridiplantae; Streptophyta; Magnoliopsida; Rosales; Rosaceae.
UUUCCACAUUGGCAAGCCUCCAUUUCCCUCUACUGUAAGAACCUCGUCGCUUUUCCACAUUGCCAAUGUGGAGUACAGGGGCAAGAGGGACCUUGAGAAUGAUGGGAUCUUGGCAGCAAAGUGUUUUGUCCAAACACCACCCGCAUUUUUCGGACCACCACCAGAAUCAUCAUCCAUUAGCCACAUUUCAAAGGGUGGUGUAUCACCAUCUUCAAAGGUAUUACAAUUCAAGCGAAAGAGAGCGAUGGAUUCAUUCCACACCUUAAGACGCAUUUCAAUACCAAAUCCUUCGAAAUUGUUGAACUCUACCAUCUCAUGUGGUAACAGUAUGUCAUGAAACACCUCACGACUCAUGUCAAACCAAACGAUCACUCGCCUAAUUUUUUCUUGCUCGGGAUAGGUGACAUCAUAGCUAUCGGCAAAUUCCUUUUGUUGCUCACUUCCUAUCCAAUAACACAUCCCCUUGAAGUACACCUGAAAAGUUUCAGGCCAAAGGAAAGUAGUUUCCGUUUCUAAAGAAUAAGGCUCGAUCUCCCUCCAAGAAUUAGUUCCUAGGGUAUACACUACUACCUUGGGAGGAUGAAUAAUCAAAUGUUCUGUGCCGCCAUGCAAUUCUGAACCAGAAAAUCCAAUUUUGACAACUUUGUAAUCUUUAGAUUUAGGAUCAUAGCCUAAUCCCAAAACAUCGUUGAACCGAUUUGUUAGUGGCAUGUAAGGCAUAUCCAACCACCAAGGAUGAGGAUCCCUAAAGGAUGCUUCGUCGAACCAAUCUGGACUGUAUGUCUCCGAGGGAAGGACCCUGAAUUCCUGAAUUGCCGGAUUCCACAAAAGCACCUUAGUAGAAUUAGGACGAGCUAGACAAAUGAUCCCAUCACAAUGACCUAUAACAUGAAAUGAUUGAUCAUCUCCAAUCUCCAGACUCAUAGAAAGAGGAAUAUUGACGUCCUCGAUCCCAGAAAGAGUGCUACACUUGUGCACACCACCAUCGUCAUCAUCAACAAUGACAUUGUCAAAAGUAAGUACUGAGAAUACGGAUUGAAAUUUGUCCCCAUUUGGGUCCUCCGUAGAAGGGACUAACAUUCGCUUCAGAAGGACACGAGUGGACUGAUCGUCCAGCAAGGAAUGGGAGAGGUGCUUGUCGACGAACCUGGGGUCGUUGAUGAGAGCAUGCCACCAUUUAGCGACGCGCACUUGAAUCGCAUCAGAGAUUUCGGAGGCAGAGUUGACAGAAUAUUCACCAACAAAUCUUGUCCGAUUUUGGAUGUUUGUUUCGUCAUUUGUGCAAUGUCAAUUAUGGACCUCACCCUUGUUCUACGAUACACACAAAGACCAACACACAACAAGAUCAGAAGAUUCCACAAUUACACAUUCUCUCUAAUUAAGCAUAUUCUCAAAAGCUCAUCAUCAUCUGGCAUUGCUAUUUCUUUGUUAAAAAUAAAAAAAAAACUCAUUGAUACAUUCAAAAAUUUAGCCCUACUGAAAAUGCCAAUUGAAAUUCAAAAGCGAAAUAAGAAUCGAAGCAAAAAAAGUAUCCUUCUUUCAUUUAAAAAAAAAAUAUAAAAACUGAAAUUGAAUAAUAAAAAGUUAGAAAUGAGGUUACCUUGUUGUAGACUAGGCAGUAGGAAGAGGAAGAGACCGAAGCAGAAGCAGCGCUGUGAGUGAGAGGGAAAGGGGCAGACUCGGCGCAGAAAAUGUAUUUUCUGCGUUUUGUUCGUGCAGCUGCGUGCGGUAAUGCGAUGGCAGAGAGGGGUUUUUAUUUUGAUUCUUGUGCGACCGUUUUUCAACACCCUCCCAAUUUUACGAACUUACCCUCCCAAAUUCGGCUGCAGUUUGCUGUUCUCUUAACUUUUUAACAGAUGUCUAUAAACUUAACUUUUAAUUUAACGGUGCUAUCUUUUCAAAAGGACUAAUAUAACAAAUAAAAAGAAAAAUAAAAGAAAAAACAAAAGGUGCCUAACUCUCCACCUACCCCAAUUACGCGCUAUUUAAUUUGGUGUUAUCACUGUUUAAUUUAACGAUGUUAUCUUUUAAGGGAUGCUGUUGUUUUUUUUUAAUUUUUAAUUUUUUUUAAAUGUUAACACUGUUGAAUUUGGUAUUAAGUUGAAGCAUGUGUCACUAAGUUAGAAAGAAGACAUGACGAAGACACUAGUUUAUGGACAUCAGACUCCUGGGCCUCAAUUUGUAAAUCAGAUUAAUAGUCUCCGUGGUGAUAGAGUAUUCGGAGAAAGUCUAUGUAGUAAAAAGAUUGCCGAGCUCUUCCAGUGGCUCUACUCUAAGCCCAGCCGUGAUGCCUGCUCCCUCGUUUUGCAAGCGCUAGCUCGCCUUCGAGUGCCUCAGCAGCACCGCCCUUUGCAUUGGCGCCACGGGUAGCCCGGACCUUGUCGUCGGCCUCCUCGCUGCAAAUUCCACAACGUCCGCGCGAUUCACAUUGACGAGCACCUUAACCUUUCAUCGAUGAGGCUGCAUUCUGCCAAUGGCUUUGACGACGACGUGCUUGAUUUGAACACUACCCAAACUUUUUUGUUUUUGAACAAAUGAUAUUAUCUACACACCAGUGAUGAUUACAACCACCGGAGUUUAUCUUUUAUUGACCCUAAAAACUAUUUGGGCCUAAACACCUUCCCAUGUGUGCCUUUUAGCCACCAACAUAAUCCAUCAGCUAGCUUGAUUUGCCCUUCAUAGUAGUUGUUUUUGUUGUUUAGUUAAGGAUUUCUAGAAAUCAGAAACUUUUGUUUUUUUUUGUUCCCUCAUUUCUGGCUUGUUAAUACAAGCUAUCGUUGCAUAUAAAAAUAAAAUAAAAAGGACGUAGCCUUAUGCCAACCAUAUUUUUUUUUAAAUUAUUAUUAUUUGUCACAUCCCAGCCCGAGCCCUCACCACAUCUCGGGCUCGACUCCACUGUAGCACAAUAUUAUUCGUUUUGGGGCCCUGAUCACACCCUCAAGGUUUUUAUUUUUGGGAACUCCACACGAAACUUCCCAGUGGGUCACCCAUCAUGGGAUUCCUUUUUGCGCGAACUCGCUGAACUUUGGAGUUUCGAUGAAACCCGAAGCCAGUGAGCUCCCAAAAUGCCUCGUGCUAGGUAGAGAUGAGAAUAUACAUAUAAGGCUUGCAGGAUCCAUUCCUUGGGCGAUGUGGGAUGUUACAAAUCCACCCCCCUUAGUGGCCCGACAUCCUUGUCGGUACACACUUCCGGCCAGGGAUUGGUUCUGAUACCAAAUUGUCACAUCCCGGCCUGGGGCCCCACCACCACCACAUCCCGGGCUCAACUUCACGGUAGCACGAUACUGUCCGCUUUGGGCCUCGACCACGCCCCCACGAUUUUUUGUUUUUGGGAACGAGAACUUCCCAGUGGGUUUACCCAUCCUAGGAUUGCUCUCGUGAACUCUCGCUUAACUUCGAAGUUCCGAUAGAACCCGAAGCCAAUGAGCUCCCAAAAUGCCUCGUGUUAGGUAGAGAGAAUAUACAUAUAAGGCUUAGAGGAUCCAUUCCCUGGGCGAUGUGGGAUGUGUUACAUUAUUAAAUGGAUGAUUUAAAACUUUUAUAAUAACUUAGAUGAGGAGGGAUGUUUGAACUUGACACGCAAGGUAGAAAUCAACUUCCAAUCCACUAGGAUAUUUGGACUACAUGCAUUAUGCCCAAAACAAUACAUAUCAAGGAUUGGUAGCCUUACUCGAUAAUUUCCUGUAAAACGGUCUUUGAAUCUCAAAAAUUGCUAAAAUUUAUUUUUAUUUUAAUACAUUCGAUAUUUUCUAUACUAAAGGAUCGAAGAAUGGCCAAAACCUCACAGUGGCUAGUAAUAUUGCUUUUGUUUGAAUUCGCCUUUAGUCACAUGUAUAAGGAAAUUUAAAUUUUGCUCAUUCACUAAUCACCCCGAGAAUCAUAUUCAUAAAGUAAUUAUCCAAAAUUUAAAACAAAACACCAAUAAAUAAUAAUCCAAAUACAUAGAAAAAGAGUAAUGCUAGGAAGGCUAAAUUUGUAGACAAAAUUUGCAAACCAAAUUAUGUGUCACCAAUAAGGAAUGAUUACGUUCAUCCAUGUUUAAAUUAAUGAUCUAAUCAACAACUUCGAUGUCAUUUAAAUUCAUAAAAUUGUCUUACUCCAUAGAAAAUUGUUCAAAAACUUGAACCAAAUAUUAAGAGGGCGUUUAGCCACUAGGGGGAACUCAGACACAUGUUGGCCCUUGUUUAAAAGUUCUAAUCUUCCAUCGGUGUAGAUGACUUUUGAAAAUCAAAAAACUACACAGUGGUAUCUUCGGGAUUAUCAACUUGAACAAAGUUAGUGUGUAUGACUUUACGACGUGAAUGAUACUUAGCAACAACAUCAACAAGUGCUUGACAAAUGCAUGACCAAUAAUCCUUGGAACCACAAUGAUAACAUAUGUCUAUUUCUAUGGUGGUUGUGCCUUACCUUUAUUCUUGAAGUUGAAAGUCUUGAGAUCUAGAGAAUCGCGCUUUGAAACCACAACUGUAACACAUGUCUAUUGGACCAGAAAAGUGUGGCAAGCGUUGUUCGUUAUGGGAAGCUGAGAUAUCCACCAACACAUGAAGCCACAGGGUAUUCUCUUGUUUACAAUCAGCUCUCCCCUUUUGAAGUCCAAAAUUAUACUUCCGGAAUCAUCCACCAUGUUCGUCUCACAAGUUUGAUUUCGUUUGCUUCUUAUUUUCUUCAAAGUUUCAAUGGAGAAUUACAAAGUUGGGUUUUGCUGAAAUGACUGAACUUUUAAAUCCCCCAAACAUAAGUUGUGAUGGAAUGUGGUUCUUCUGAUAAGUUGGUGAUCUAAUUGUUGUUUCGAUGUAGGGUUGAAACUGAAUACACUGUACUUUUAUCGAUGCGGGGAUCCUUCUAUACAUGCAAUGAGUCAAAUCCACCAUUUUCAGGACUAUCCCAGUUUUCUGGUCCUCGGAGCUACCCUGAGAGAAUAGCGGUUAUGGGAGACCUUGGCCUUACUUACAACACAACUACCACAAUAAGUCACUUGAAAAGUAACAAUCCUGAUCUUGUUCUAUUGAUUGGUGAUGUUACUUAUGCAAACCUCUACCUCACAAAUGGAACUGGCUCUGACUGCUAUUCUUGCUCAUUUCCAAACUCUCCAAUACAUGAGACCUAUCAGCCUCGAUGGGAUUAUGGGGAUGGUUAAAACAUAAAUUGCUUUAUUUCUAUCGCAUACAAUGGCUGCUGUAAAUUAUGGCAUAGAACUUGUUUUCUUAUGUUGUCAUUGCUGGGUAAUUUGUGUAGGUAUAUGCAGAGUUUAGUGUCCAAAGUUCCAAUAAUGGUUGUUGAAGGGAACCAUGAAAUAGAAGAACAGGCUGAAAAUAAGACUUUUGAGGCUUAUAGUUCUCGUUUGAGAAAACAAAUUUAAUGUGAAAUUAAUUGGUACUUGGUUCCCUCAUUGCUAAAACACAUAAUACAAAUCUUAUUUGAAACGCUAUCAGAAACAAUGACCUUAUCUUGAAACUCGUAUCACAACAGUACCAUUUGGUUCCGAUCCCAAGCAUGUUUUUAUUAAGUUGUCCUUGGUGUCUAUGAAUGACGAACAAUUUUCCUCAUUGUAAUUAAUUAUCUUUUUGCUUUAAAGUGCACUGAAUAUUCUUCAAUUUUCCAAAACAUUUGUAAUAUUGUGCCAAUUAUAUUAUAUAUUUGCAGGAUGCAUAGCAAUUUGGUGUCAGUAAAACUUUUGUCUGCCGCAUAUUUGAUCAUGUUUUAACUUCGGAAUUUCAUGGUCUAGUUAAUUUUGACGGAUUUUGAAAGGCUUUUAAAACAAAUUAGAAUCAAACUUUCGAAUUUACUACCCCAAACAAAUUGCACUGCAAAUUACCAUAAUCAGAAUUCAUCAGGUCAUGUACGUACUACAUAACAUUUACUUAGGAUAUGAAAUGGUGAGAUCGAUAAAUUCGAAAUCAUCAUUAUAUUGUUGUUCUUAUUACAUUAAUAUAGAUAUAUGUAGCAGCCACUAUAUAUACCCAUUAGAGUGAAUACGAUACCAAUGCCCCACAAUUUGUUGUCCUGACACAAUCGACCGGAUUCGCUGCGUUGUAGUCAAAACAGAUGACGACUUCCUGGAGAUACACGAUCCUCCCAUCAUACUUGCACAUAAGAAGAGGUGUUUUCCCUCCUAUAGUCCGUCGAAUGGCCGAUUCAAGGUCGAUGUAAUCAUAUUGAUGUCCUGGUACAAUCCCAGUUGUUUGAGAAAAUAGAUAUUGUGCAUUGUAGGUCAACCAUAAUCUAUGAGCUUCGUGGAAGUACUGUGUCUGGGAAAAUUUAUUGUCCGAGCACCUGCCGUGCUUGUUGUACUCAUGCUCCCAGAAAUCCAUAUUUGUCCGUCUAAUGUUGAAGUUGGGCCAGGAAUUGGACAAAAGUAAUUGCAUUAUGAUCAGCAUUCAUCUGAAGCACAAAGACGAGAAGUUACAAGCAUUUCAGAGAGCUGCAGGAGAAAAAAAACAAACUGAAAUGAGUAAAUAUAUUCAAUGUGUACCUGUUUUCUGUCGAAUAGCGUGCCAGCGCAGAGUAUAGAUGCAGAUGGAUCGGUAAAGUUGCUCGGCCAGAGGCCGUGUGUCGUAAAGGUAUGCCGCAGAACUGGUGGGUUUCCACAAAUUCCAUUCCCAAGGCAGAAGACGUAUGGGGAUUGCUGGACGAAUUGGAAGAUAUCAUAUGGUGUGGCAGCAUUGCUCUUUCCGAGAUAAGUGACGAAGCAAAGAGCGAUGACAACGAGAACAAUCUUGAAGAAGUGCAUGGUUGUCAAGCAAUUAUCAAAAGAACAAAGGGAGGGAGGGAGGAUGGGAUGAGAAAUAAUAAGGAAAGCUAAAGAGUGAAUGAAGUGUGAAUUUUCAAAGAAAUGAAGAGGUGUUUAAAUAGUUAGAGUUGAGGUUAAGGGUAGGGUUUGGAGAAAUUAAUUAAGGUGAAGCUAACUAGCAAAGAUGAUAAUAAUUAAGGUCAAGUAAGUGUGAACAGAUCCUGAACUAGGGAAUGCCUCUUUCUUGUUAUGCAAGGCUUUGCAUUCUCAUAUGCAUGCUAUAAAGGGUGGUAACCGUGUAGUGGUUGAUUCAUCAACAACCCAAUCAACCCAAUUAUAGCGGUUCCUCAUAUAUCAGAUUCAGACCCCAAGCAAGCUAAUAGUCUCAAUUUUUAGAUUAUAAUUCUAUUUGAGAAAGCCAUUCAGGACCACGCUAGCUAAAUAUGGUUCCAAUCGAAUAUAAACAGAAACGAUUUGGACAUUGUUUAUGUAUCUUAUCUUGUAAAUUGAAGUUUCAACCACUACCUUCUAGCAGUGGUAAUUCUUAUCUUUGAAAUUUUGGAGCUCUCCUCUCCUCUUCAUGGUUUCUAUUCAACUUACUUAUCCCGGUUGCAGAUAAUUAAUUAACUUGUGGAUUAAGUAAAUAGCUAUUUCAAUUUGCUGCUACUCACCCUGGAGCUAGCCUUCGGACCGGGGAAAUCAUAUUGUCCUAUAGACACCCGCUUCGUCGCUGCAAGGCGACACCGCAGGGUGGAUAUCUGCGGGUACUCAUCAUUUCAUUUCAUGGUUGUAUUGCUUCACAUUUGCAGAUUGUUAACACAACAUGCCUUCUGUUUAGUUAAUUCAUUAAUCAAACAUGAUCAAAUAUACAACAUACAAAUUGUUAGAAUUGAGGUCAAGUGUAGAGUGUAGAGAAAGAUUAAGUUGAAGCUAGCUAGCAAAGGUGAUAAUAAUUAAGGUCAAGUGAGUGUGAACACAUUCGGAAUUAGGGAAUGCAUCUUUCUUGUUGCCCACGGCAAUGCAUUCUCAUGCUAUAAAGGGUAGUAACUGUGUAGUGGAUGAUUCAUCAUCAACCCAAUUAUAUAAAGUGGUUCAUCAUAUAUCAGAUUCAAACCCUAAGCUAGCUAGCGGUCCAAAUUUUAGAUUAUAAUUCUGUUUCAAAAAUCCAUUCAGGACAACGCUAGCUAAACAUGGUUCCGAACGAAAAAAUACAGAAACGAUUUAGGCAUUGCUUGCGUAUCUCAUCUUGUAAAAAUGUACAACUUACAAUACACUUAAUUUCGAACAUUGUUUGUGUAUCUCAUCUUCUUCGUUGAAAGGCAACACCGCAGGGUGGAUAUCUGCAGGUAGCCAUCAUUUCGUUUCUUGGUUGUAUUGCUUCAUAUUUGCAGAUUGUUGAUACCACAUGCCUUUUCCGUUUAGUUAAUUCAUUAAUAAAAAAUUAUCAAAUAUACUCGUAAAUUUUUAUCGACUCCAAGUUUCUUAAGGACAUCCAUAAUUUGGACAACAAAAGGAUUUCAUUACUUUCGAUAUCUACGUACACAUGUACUUGUUGUUGCCUUCCGUGACCGAAACCAUACUCUUGACAUAUACAAUGGGCGAAUGAUUUGCUUUGCACAGUGGCAAAUAAUACGGUUGCGGAGGAAAAAUGGGAUUGAUCCUUACAGCACUUUGAAUGGGAAGAUUUUUAAGCUUCUUAGUACGGAAGUUAUAGCAGACUAUGCCUCCAUUUUCCUCUACUGUAAGAACCUCGUCGCUUUUCCACAUUGGCAAGCCUCCAUUUCCCUCUACUGUAAGAACCUCGUCGCUUUUCCACAUUGCCAAUGUGGAGUACAGGGGCAAGCCGGACCUUGAGAAUGAUGGGAUCUUGGCAGCAAAGUGUUUUGUCCAAACACCACCCGCAUUUUUCGGACCACCACCAGAAUCAUCAUCCAUUAGCCACAAUUCAAAGGGUGGUGUAUCACCAUCUUCAAAGGUAUUACGAUUCAAGCGAAAGAGAGCGAUGGAUUCAUUCCACACCUUAAGACGCAUUUCAAUACCAAUUCCUUCGAAAUUGUUGAACUCUACCAUCUCAUGUGGUAACAGUAUGUCAUGAAACACCUCACGACUCAUGUCAAACAAAACGAUCACUCGCCUAAUUUUUUUCUUGCUCGGGAUAGGUGACAUCAUAGCUAUCGGCAAAUUCCUUUUGUUGCUCACUUCCUAUCCAAUAACACAUCCCCUUUGAAGUACACCUGAAAAGUUUCAGGCCAAAGGAAAGUAGUUUCCGUUUCUAAAGAAUAAGGCUCGAUCUCCCUCCAAGAAUUAGUUCCUAGGGUAUACACUACUACCUUGGGAGGAUGAAUAAUCAAAUGUUCUGUGCCGCCAUGCAAUUCUGAACCAGAAAAUCCAAUUUUGACAACUUUGUAAUCUUUAGAUUUAGGAUCAUAGCCUAAUCCCAAAACAUCGUUGAACCGAUUUGUUAGUGGCAUGUAAGGCAUAUCCAACCACCAAGGAUGAGGAUCCCUAAAGGAUGCUUCGUCGAACCAAUCUGGACUGUAUGUCUCCGAGGGAAGAAGGACCCUGAAUUCCUGAAUUGCCGGAUUCCACAAAAGCACCUUAGUAGAAUUAGGACGAGCUAGACAAAUGAUCCCAUCACAAUGACCUAUAACAUGAAAUGAUUGAUCAUCUCCAAUCUCCAGACUCAUAGAAAGAGGAAUAUUGACGUCCUCGAUCCCAGAAAGAGUGCUACACUUGUGCACACCAUCAUCUCGUCAUCAUCAACAAUGACAUUGUCAAAAGUAAGUACUGAGAAAUACGGAUUGAAAUUUGUGUCCCCAUUUGGGUCCUCCGUAGAAGGGACUAACAUUCGCUUCAGAAGGACACGAGUGGACUGAUCGUCCAGCAUGGAAUGGGAGAGGUGCUUGUCGACGAACCUGGGGUCGUUGAUGAGAGCAUGCCACCAUUUAGCGACGCACUUGAAUCGCAUCAGAGAUUUCGGAGGCAGAGUUGACAGAAUAUUCACCAACAAAUCUUGUCCGAUUUUGGAUGUUUUGUUCGUCAUUUGUGCAAUGUCAAUUAUGGACCUCACCCUUGUUCUACGAUACACACAAAGACCAACACAACAAGAUCAGAAGAUUCCACAAAAGCUCAUCAUCAUCUGGCAUUGCUAUUUCUUGUUAAAAAAAAAAACUCAUUGAUACAUUCAAAAAUUUAGCCCUACUGAAAAUGCCAAUUGAAAUUCAAAAGCGAAAUAAGAAUCGAAGCAAAAAAAGUAUCCUUCUUUCAUUUAAAAAAAAAUAUAAAAACUGAAAUUGAAUAAUAAAAAGUUAGAAAUGAGGUUACCUUGUUGUAGACUAGGCAGUAGGAAGAGGAGAGAGAGACCGAAGCAGAAAGCAGCGCUGUGAGUGAGAGGGAAAGGGGCAGACUCGGCGCAGAAAAUGUAUUUUCUGCGUUUUGUUCGUGCAGCUGCGUGCGAUAAUGCGAUGGCAGAGAGGGGUUUUUAUUUUGAUUCUUGUGCGACCGAUUUCCACACCCUCCCAAAUUUACGAACUUACGCUCCCAAAUUCGGCCGCGGUUUGCAGUCUUCAAUUCCGUGUCUUAAUUGUGUAUGUUCUCUUAACUUUUUAACAGAUGUCUAUAAACUUAACUUUUAAUUUAACGGUGCUAUCUUUUUCAAAAGACUAAUAUAACAAAUAAAAAGAAAUAAAAGAAAAACAAAAGGUGCCUAACCCUCCACCUACCCCAUAACACUAUUGAAUUGGUGUUAUCACUGUUUAAUUUAACGGUGUUAUCUUUUUAGGGGAUACUGUCGUUUUUCUUUAAUUUUUAGUUUUUUUCUUCAAAUGUUAACACUGUUGAAUUGGUAUUAAGUUGAAGCAUGAGUCACUAAGUUAGAAAGAAGACAUGACGAAGACACUAGUUUAUGGACAUCAGACUCCUAGGCCUUAAUUUGUAAAUCAGAUUAAUAGUCUCUGUGGUGAUAGAGUAUUCGGAGGAAAGUCUAUGUAGUAAAAAGAUUGCCGAGCUCUUCCAGCGGCUCUACUCCAAGCCCAGCCGUGACGCCUACUCCCUCGUUUGCAAGCGCUAGCUCGCCCUCAAGCGCCUCAGCAGCACCGCCCUUUGCAUUGGCGGCCGACCGGUAUAUCGAUAGCUUAUUUGCUGGGUUCGUUAGGCAAGUGGGCAAGAAGAUUCGCCUACAGUAGCUGAUGCAGAUUCAGAAUUGUUAUUCUUGGGACUCGACCCAAAGACACAUCUGUUCUCGAAGUGCGUGACGUUUCGUGUGCUUGGGCGAGACCCACUCUUAUUUUUUAGCUUUGGUUUUCAGUAUAAGUAUUUUAACUUCAUUUCCUCUAGUUAUUUGUUUUUGUCGUUAUAAAUGUUUUUGGAAAAGUAUUUCUGUUUUCAUUUUUAAGUUGAUUCGAGCUUUUGAUCUAUAUGUUAGUACAUAUCUAUUUUGAUGUUAUCUGGCCUUAAAUUAUUUUGUGUUUUCGACUUUAUAUUUUAUUAAAGUAUGUUUUCUACUUUUACACUGAUGGGGAAAGAAAGUAUGAGCCUGGGGGCACGAAAGAUGGAAUCAUUGCAGCUGAUUGCGACGGCGUGGCAUUUUCCCUUUUGUGUAACCGCUCUUACCUAAUAUCUUCGUUACAUAUAUGUAUAUUAUUCUUCUUCCUAUUUUCGAAUAUUUUCAGUCUAGUCAGUGAUUUUAAAUUUCGAGGACGAAAUUAUUUUAAGGGGGGUAGAUUGUUACAACCACCCCCAAAUAAUUACACCAUUUGUUAUUUCCACCCCCAGCUGCCACGUGUCAAUCAUUAAACCUCCCCUCUUUUCCCUCUUUAUGUCCCCUCACCCCCGUGACCUUCUUCUUCUUCGUCUCUCUCUCCCGAAGCUCUCUCAACUCUCCAUGUAGCUCUCUCUCUCAACCUCUCGCAUCUCUCUCUCUCCCUGGACUCACUAGAACCUUAGCACCUUCAGGAGAGGCUUGUAGCAAGCCCAGGAUCCCUUUGCCCGCGAGAUCGAAGACACGGAGCAAAGCUCCGAUGAGCUUUCUUCCUUUUUAAGUGGGGGUAAGUCUCGAAUCCCUCAUUCUCGUACCUAGCUUAAUGUUUGGUUAUGAUUUAGAAGCUUGAACCUUCUAUUUUUACGUAGAUUUUGCUUCGGAAAUCAUUGUGGGUGAGCACACCCAUUUUCCGGCGAACCCAUGGACUUUGGAGGCUUUUCCGGUCACCUCCGACCGAGUUACGGUGUUUGGAAGGUAGAAAUCUCUCUCUAUCUCUUGGUUCUUCAUGUUUGUACCUAGAUCGGAGCUCGAAGCUUUCGUUUUCAAGUGACCGGAGCUGUAGCAGCUCCGGCCUUCUCUCUCGGCAAACCAGGCCAUCCGGCCUUUCCCAUUUCCUCCCCUCGGGCCUUAGGCCCGUGUUGUCUUAAGCCCAAACCCUAGCCCCCUUUAGUUUUUUUUAAGCUUUGUUAAUUGGUUUUUAAAACCCAAAAAUGGCUCGGGCCUUAUAUAAUUUGGCCUUGGGCAGGUUAUAUAUUAAAGGGCUUAAAGCCCUGUCCUUUUUAAUAAGGCCUUAAGGCCUUUGUGUUUUGGUGGUGUGUGUGUGUUUGUGGAGUGUAUAUGUUUGGGCUUAAGCCCAAACCCCAAUUCUCACCUUAAUACCCUUUUAACCCAAAAACCCUAGGUUUCUAAAACCCGUUUAAAACCCUAAACUCAUCCAAUCCCAAAUCCCCUAUUUUAUUUAAUUCAAACCCAAUCUUUUAGAAAAUCCUUUUAUUUAUCUAUUACAUUUUUGUGCUUAGGUAAAGUUGCUAGUGGAGAAAUUCUAUAUCCUUAUUCGUGCGAUUCUUCUGCUAAAGAAUAUUUGUGAGUGGACCCUUUCUAAAAUUACAUGAUUUUAUAAUUUAAUUGCAUAAAUGAUUAGCAUGCCUACGGAUUUACGAACUGAUUUAUGUUAAGCCUGUUUUUGGAAUUUAUUGAUUUCGUCUCGUGUUUUGGUGAGGAAAUAAAUUGCUAGCCUAGUUUGAGCUAUAUUUUAAUAUAUCGUAUUUUCUAUAAAAAUCAUGAACUGGUAGACUAUUCGAUGGAUGACGAUAGGAUGCUAGAACAUGUUUUAGAAACCCCUCUUUAUAGUAUAGACAAUGGAUGACUUUAUACUAUGAAGUGGUUAUUUAUGAUAGGCGUAACUAUUUGUGCGUACCUAGUAGACACUAUGCCGUCUGGGGCGAGGAACUGGUGUUGGCAUUUAGGCCGGGAGAAAUAAUCCCUAGCUACCGGCUGAGGGACAUGGAGCAAGCAUUGGGCCGGGAGUUGGUAAUCUCUGGCUACGGGCGCAGAGACCACGGAACAGGUAUUGGGUCGGGAGUUAUAUUUAUUUAGUGAUCUUUCUAGCAGCACACCGCGUUUACGAGAUGAUUUAUGAUGCGUUUACUGUUUUGAUUUCUGCGAUGAUAUUCCGCGAUGUGAUUUUUGAGAUAUUUGGCAUGCUAGGAUUUUUAUUAAAUUCAUCACUUAUUAUGCUAGUAGUUUUCAUUUAUAUAAACUUUGGGGGUUAGUAUGUUGAUAACUAUUUUAUUAUUAUUGUAUAUAUAAACUUGGUCCACUCACCUUUGUUUUGCGCCCCCAUUCAGGACUUAGGAUCAAGGUACCUAAUCCCGGCGUGAAGGCACUUCCCCAGCAGCAUCUUCGGAUCCUCUCGAAUGUAGGACUCACUCCUUUAUUCAUUAAAUUUUAUCUUAAUUCUUCUUAGUGAUUAGGUUUAGUUGUAUGCUCUGAGCAUGUUCCUAAACCUUUUAACUCUUAGUAUUUUAAAUUUCUAACCCGUAUUUAUUUCUUAUUCUUAGCUUUUGUAUCAAUUAAUGGCUUUCGUCACCCUCGGGUGUCGUCCAUCACGUGUCUAUCCUGGUAUUCGGGGAAUAUCAGGGUCGGGGCGUGUCAAAUUCGGCUGUAGUUUGCUGUCGCCAAUUCAGUGUCUCAUUUGUGUUUGCUCUCUAACUUUUUAACAGCGGUCUAUAAACUUAACUUUUAAUUUAACAGUGCUAUCUUUUCAAAAGACUAAUAUAACAAAUAAAAAGAAAUAAAAGAAAAACAAAAGGUGCCUAACUCUCCAACUACCCAAUUACACUAUUUAAUUGGUGUUAUCACUGUUUAAUUUAACGGUGUUGAAGCAUGUGUCACUAAGUUAGAAAGAAGACAUGGCGAAGACACUAGUUUAUGGACAUCAGACUCCUGGCCCUCAAUUUGUAAAUCAGAUUAAUAGUCUCCGUGGUGAUAGAGUAUUCGGAGGAUAGUUUAUGUAGAUCGUUGAGGUCUUCCGGCGGCUCGACUCCAAGCCCAGCUGUGAUGCAUGCUCCCUCGUCUGCAAGCGCUAGCUCGCCCUCAAGCGCCUCAGCAGCACCGCCCUCUGCAUUGGCGCCACCGGCAGCUCAGACCUCGUCGUCGGCCUCUUCACUGCUAAUUCCGCAACGUCCGCGCCGUUUACCUUGACGAGCACCUUAACCUUUCGUCGAUGAGGCUGCAUUUUGUUUGAGAAAAUGAAUUUCAUUGAUUAAGAGAAUAAAAUUACAAUGUUGUGGUAUGUGUAUAUAUAUAUACACACACACUCUCACAUAACUUUAACCUUCUAAACACCUUGCGACCUAUACAACAAUCUCAACUAAUUACUAAUCUAAUACAACAACCAAAACAAACAAACUAGCUCUAAGUUUUAUCACCAAUUGAAUCUUUAACAAUACUAUCCAAAACAUCCCCCCUCAAACUAAACUGAGGAGUUCAAAGGGACAGUUUGGAUCUUAAGAGCUGAAACCGGUCUUUGGAAAGAGAUUUUGUGCAUAUAUAUGAAAUUUGAUUUUGAGUGCAGAUAAAAUGGACUGAGAUGGCCUUCGAUAACAACUUUUCUUGAAUGUUGUGGUAGUUGAUCUCUACAUGCUUUGUUCUAGCAUGAAACAAAGGAUUUUUGGCAAGAGAGAUAGUUGAUUGAUUAUCACACUAGAGUUGAGGAGUACAUGUGUAACAACCCGUCCUAAAUUUUUACGGAACGAAAGGGUAAUGUUGUAAUUUCAUUUUGGGUUGGGAUAUUGGUUUAAAAUAUUGUUUUUGAGGGCCUUAAUAGGUGUGCCCAAGGGGCCCACCUAUGGAGUUUGUUCGCGACCCUCUCCCUUGUCUCUCUCUCUCUCUCUCUCUCUUUCUUCCCUCCUAUGAGUCUCACUAUCUUUUUCACUUUAUCUCUAUCACUCUUACUUCUCUCCCUUCUCUCUCAGCAAGUACCGAAGGGUGCCAUGGGGGAAAGCACCACCAGAGAAACCACCCAUUUCACCCUAUAGACCUUAUGAGCUCGAACUCGAGCCCUGUUACGUAGGAAAAACCGAGCCGUGAGACUCUAACUCCAAGCUUCGACGAGAACAAAGUUCCCCGACGCGACUUUGAAUGAUUUUGUAACUUUUUUGGUUUGGGUAAGCCUCAAAACACUCCAAAUGCUUAUCUUUUCGUCCCUAUAGUUCUUUUCUAACCACGUUGUUAUGUUUUGGACAUCAAAAUACGAAGAAACACCUCGAAGGAGUAUGUUCAAUGGUUGUGUGCUUAUCUAGUGGUCACUAUACCGCCACGGGUGAGGAUUAUAGUUGUUGGCUGCUGGCUAAGAGAAAUAAUCUCUGGCUACCAGUGCAGAGACAUAAAAGCGGGCAUUGGGUCAGGAGAUAUUAUUAUUGGAUACCACUAUGUAUCACACUAUAUAUGAGAUAUGUUUUAUGAAGGUUUUAUGACAUGCUACGGUUUUCGGAAAACCUAUUACAUAUUAUACUAUUGAAUUUCCAUAAAACUUUGGUGGUUAGUAUGUUGAUAAAAGUUUUAGUAAGUGUGUGUGUAUAUAUAUAUAUCAACUUGGUCCACCCAUGUUUGUUUUGUGCCCCAUCAGGACUUAGAAUCGCGGCGUACAAUCUCGACGUCAAGGCAUUUCCGCUUCGGCAGCUUCGAGUCCUCUUAGUGUAGAACCCAUUCCUUUGCUCCUUCAAUGUUAUAUUAUUUUCUUUUUAGUGUUUUAGAUUAGUUGUAUGCUCCGAACACGUUCAUCAUUUGCAUAUUAAAUAUAAUUAAAUUUAUAAGUCUUAUAUAUUUCGGGUUCUCAUGCAUUCUAAUAUGGCUUUGUCACCUUCAAGUAUCGGCCAGCACGUUCCUACCCUGAUGUUUGGGGAAUAUCAAGGUCGGGCAUGUCAACAAGGAAGAUGGAAACCAAUAUCAGCAAGUAACUGACAUAUCCAUGUAAUUUCGUCUAUAGUAUUAGCUAAAGAUCGAUACUCUGCCUCUGUUGAAGAACGAACCACUGUUGAUUGCUUCUUAGCAUUCCAACUGAUGAUAGAUGAACCCAGAAAAAUACAAUAAGCGCUAGUUGAUCUUCGAUGAAGUGUGCAACCUGCCCAGUCAGCAUCUGAUAAGGCUUUGAGAGAUGGAAUAGAGACAUAUUUUGUAAACCAAAGACCAAUGUCAAUGGAACCCUUAAGAUAUCGAAUGAUCCUUUUGAUAGCUUGAAAAUGAGACUGCCUUAGACUAUGCAUGAAUUGACUGUAAAUGAUAAAUUUGGCCGAGUCCAAGUAAGAUAUUGUAAUGAACCAACCAAAGGUCGAUAUCUGCAGGAUUAUCAAGCAAUGGAGAAGAAAGAUCCAUCUUGGAUGUACUGAGUGGGGUAGCACAUGGUUUUGCUCCAGCCAUGUUAGCCUUCUUUAAUAGAUCCAAGAUAUACUUUGUUUGUGAAAUGAAGAUGCCUUUGGAGGAUCGCUUGACUUCAAUUCCCAGAAAAUAAUGAAGUGCACCAAGGUCUUUAAUAAGAAAGAGAUAGCUAAGUUGAGAAAUAACAUGCUUGCAAGCUGCUGCAGAUGGCCCUGUGACAGUAAUGUCAUCAACAUAUAUCAGAACAAAGACCAUAAGAUCCCUUUUGACAAACAAUGAAUGAUCUAAUUUGGAACCAGUGAAGCCAAAAGUGUGUAAUGCUCCAUGGAGUUUUUCAUACAAGGCUCGGGGAGCCUGUUUAAGACCAUAUAGGGAUUUAUGCAAUUGACAAACAUGAGUAGGAUGAAUAACAUCUUCAAAACCAGGCGGCUGUUGCAUAUAAACAGAUUCAGACAAUGUCUUACGCAGAAAAGCAUUGCUUUCAUCUAGUUAAUUGAGACUCCAAUCAAAUUGGGCAACAAGAGUGAGUAGGAGUCGAAUUGUCACAGGCUGGGCUACUGGACUAAAAGUCUCAGUAUAAUCAAGUCAUUCUUGCUGAUGAAAACCUUUGGCAACUAAGCAAGCUUUGUACCUAUCUAUGGUACCAUCAGGUUUUCUUUUAAUCCUGAAAACCCACUUACAUCCUACAAUGUUUUGAUGAGCAGUUUUGGGUACUAAGGACCAAGUACCAUUUUGUUGUAAGGCAAGAAACUCCUCAUGCAUUGCCUUAACCCAAUGUGGAUAUUUGGAAGCUUGGAGAUAUGUAGUGGGAACAAAUUCAUUGGAAAGAUAAGAAAGGAGAGGAUGUUUGGUUGCAGAAAAUGCUUUUGGUUUGUAAAUACCAGAUUUGGACCUGGUUUGCAUAAGGUGAGUAUUAGUAUGAACCGAGUGAGAUGUAGGUAUAAGAGAUAUAGGUAUAAAGGUUGUUGGAGAAUAUAGGAGAUGAAGAUGAUGGUAUAGGGGAAUAGAUCUGUGGUUAAGUGAAUGUGAGGUGCAUGGGAAUGGUAUUGAGAGAUGAAGCUGCUACUGAGGAAAGAGAGCACUGUGAAGCUGCAAUAGUGUGAAAGGGAAAAUUGCCUUUAUCAAAGAUCACAUUUCGUGAGAUGUAUAACUUGUUGGUAGUGAGAUCCAAACAUUUGUAACCUUUGUGGUUGAGGCUGUAACCAAGGAAUACACAGAGCUUGCUUUUGGGAUCCAAUUUAGACUCAUAGUAAGGUUGCAACCAUGGAAAACAACUACCCCAAAAACCUUCAAGGUGGCAUAGUUAGGUGAUAUGUGGAAGAGACGUUCCUAUGGAGACAAUCUGGAUACAGUAGGUAAUUUGUUUAUGAGAAACACAGCAGUGGAAAAAACAUGAUCCCAAUAGGUGUGAGGGACCUUAGAAACUGUUAAAAGUGUUCUGGCAGUCUCAACUAUGUACAUGUGCUUAGGUUCAGCACAACUAUUCUGUUGAGGGGUGUAUAGAUAACUUAGUCAAUGAUUGAUACCAUUCUCAAUAAAGAAAUUAGAGCAUUGAGUGCUAAGAUAUUCCCCACCAUAAUAUGAUCUAAGAGCAACAAUUUUAGUAUGCAGCAAGUUCUCAACAAGACUUUUGAACUUAACAAAAGUAGGAAACACAUCAGAUUUAUAUUGCAAAGACAAAGCCAACAAUAUUUUGUAAAAUCGUCUACAAAUAUGACAUAGUAUCUGAAAUUGUUCGCAAAAAUGAUAGAUGUUUGCCCCCAAACAUCUGUGUGAAGUAGCUCCAAAGGUUUACUGGUAUGAAAAGUAUCUGAAAUUGUUCACAGAAGUGACAGAUGUUGGCCCCCAAACAUUUGUGUGAAGUAGCUUCAAAGGCUUACUGGUAUGACAAGUUACAUAAGCAAAUGGCAAUCUAGAACUUUUGCUUAAGGCACAACCAUUACAGAAAGACUUAUUGGAACCACUAGAAAAAGAAAUAAAAGACUUAGUAACCAACUUAUUGAGAAUCUUCACCAAAUGAUGGCCAAGUCUUUGGUGCCAAAUAUUUUUGGAUGUGUUAACAGAAGCAGCAAACACAUUGUGAUUAUGGAUCACAAAACUGGAAGGCUGUGGUUGAAAUGGAUAGAAGCCAUCUCUCACAGGACCUUUAAAGAGCAUCUUCCCCGAAGAAAUAUCCUUCACAGUGAAAUGAAAAUGAUAAAGAUGCAUAGAACACCAAUUGUCAACAAGAAACGGAUUUGCAGAAAGCAAAUUUUGUUUCAAAUCAGGAACAUGUAACAUAUUUAGAAGUUGAAAAUUAUGAUGAGGAGUAUUUAAUGUAGAAAAACUAGAGUGGAGAAUAGGCAAACCUUUAAAGAGUGUUGUAAGAAUUGGUCAUGUGAAUACUAGCACCGGAGUCAACAAUCCAAGUAGGUUGAGGAGAAUGUGUGCUUGCAGCCAUAGCAGAAUGAGAAACAUUGCUGGAAUAAUGUGGAUUCAUGCGCUGGGGACACUCGAUUGCAUCAUGUUCAAACUAGCGACAAAUUUGGCAUGGAAUCCUCAUUCCUGAGAAAUUGAAGGAUGAUCAACCACCACAGUUGUAGUGCUGAGAAUUGUUGCGAUAAGAAUUUGGACAAUUGUUGUUAGAACGGAAGUUGCUUCGUCCCUGAAAGUUUCUAGGGUUGGAGAAACCACGAUCACCACCACGACCUUGAGAGAAAUUAUGAUCACCACCACGACCUGGAGGAUUAUGUUAAGCAACAAAAGCCUGAGAAGGCGAAGUAGGAAGAAUGCCGGCGGUGGAGUUGUAUGCCUGAAUUGACAUUGUCGAAGUAGUUUUCUUCCGAUUUGUUAGCUGAAUCUCUUUAUUGAGAAGGAGACCAUGCAGCAUCAAGUGUGGUGGAACCAAGUCAGAAUUGUAUCGCAUCAACAAAAGAUUCGUACUCUGGUGGUAACUCAUGAUGUGUGACAGAGGUUAAUUCAGAAUCCUCAACUGGAGCACCGACACUAGCAAAAGCAUCAGUGAUCUCUUCAAUUUGUUGAAGAUAUUGGGCAGCUGUGGAAUCACCAUUCGAAAUGCUGUGCAGACAUGAUCAGAGCUCGUGGAUGUACAAUUGAGACGUCGUCGCAAGGCGUGACUCCAAUCUUGCCUAAAGCUCUCUGGAUGUAGUAACUCUAACAGUGUAAGGAUGAUCGAUUUAGAGAAUGUGGAAUUGAUCCAAAUGAGGAUGUUCUUAUCGUUCUCGAACCAAUAAACAUAUGCCGGAUUCAGAAUUUGAUUUCCAACAGCAUCAGGGAUGAAUUAAGAUGGAGGAGGCAUCGAUCCAUCAAGAAUUCUAGUGAGAUUAUAGUGAAGGAAGAUCGGAGCAAACAAUGCACUCAAGGUGAGAUAAUUGGUCGGAGUCAGCUUGAUCGGCACCAUGGAUCCGAUAUUCUGGAUUGUGAUUGAAGGUGUGGAAAGAGUAUAACUCGAAUUUGAAAAAGGAUUACGAUGAAUUUGUGUUGCCAAUUUCCAAACUCUCCGAUACAUGAGACCUAUCAGCCUCGAUGGGAUUACUGGGGAAAGUUAAAAUAUAAAUUGCUUUAUUUCUAUCGCAGGCAAUGGCUGUUGUAAAUUAUGGCAUAUAACUUAUUUUCUUAUGUUGUCAUUGCUGGGUAAUUUGUGUAGGUAUAUGCAGAGUUUAGUGUCCAAAGUUCCAAUAAUGGUUGUUGAAGGGAACCAUGAAAUAGAAGAACAGACUGAAAAUAAGACUUUUGAGGCUUAUAGUUCUCGGUUUGCAUUCCAAUCUGAAGAAAGCGGAUCUUUGUCCACAUUCUACUACUCAUUUAAUGCAGGGGGGAUUCAUUUUAUCAUGCUUGGAGCCUACACCGACUUUAGCAAAUCAGGUAAUUAAAGUUUGCCUAAUUUUUGAGCUCAUUCCUUGCCUAAAUAUUCGUAUUUUUGCAUUUCUUUUUCUUUACAAAUGGUUUCGUUAUUGUUUCUAUCCCCAUUAAUCAGUGAUUUCUUUGCCUACAGGGAAACAAUACAAGUGGCUGGAGCAAGAUUUGGCUAAUGUGGACAUAUCUGUUAAAAGUUAAUGCUUUACUGAAACUGAUUCUGUGUAAAAGGGCUGACUGUUGCCUUUAUCAGUCGACCCAUUCUCUUUAUCAGUCGACCCAAUUACUUCAGUCGGCUUAUGUAUUGAGCCAUAUAUAUCAGAAAUAUCUGAAUGAAAAUAUCAGAUCUCAGUUUUAAGUAAAAAGCAUCAGCCCUCUGUUUCCAAAAAAGCUCUGUGCACUUUGUUUCUUUGAUUUUCAAUCUUUAUCAUUUUAUUCAAGUUUUAUUAAUGAUGAAAGAUUGUCUAAAUACCAACAUGGUAUCAGAGCCAAUCUGAUCAAAGAGUGGGGCAUUUUUUUUUUAUUCUCAUAAAAGGGGAAAAUUCCAAGUGAAACCCUAGAAUCAAAAUUUUUCAAAUUCAUGGCUGGUUCAAGCAGCAGUGGUGAGAUUCGAACUCCUAUCUUCAGUGGAGUAAACUACGACUUCUGGAGGACAAAGUUGAGAACAAUUUUUGUAUCUCAUGAUUUGUGGAGCUUGAUUGAAGAUGGCUAUGUUGUACCUCCAAGCAAUGUGGUUUUGACAGAGACUCAAACAAGGGAGUUGAAGGUAAACAUCAAGAGAGAUGCAAAAGCUUUUGGGGUCAUCCAAAAUGCUAUCUCAGAUGAAAUUUUUCCGAGAAUCUCAAAUGAGACAAGUGCCAAAUUAGCUUGGGAUGUGCUGGAGAAAGUCUACAGAGGUUCUACUAAGGUAAGGGCUGUCAAACUUCAAUCUUUGAGAAGAGAUUUUGAGUAUAUAAGAAUGAAAGAUGAUGAAUUGCUAGAUGAUUACCUGAGUAGAUUGUCUGAGAUUAUUAAUCAAAUGAAAAGCUAUGGUGAAAUCUUGUCUGAUGAGAGAAUAGUUCAGAAGUAUCUAAUUAGCUUGCCAAGAAAGUAUGACAACAUAGUUUCAAUCAUAGAGGAGACUAAGGAUUUGUCAACUUUGAGUGUUGAAGAAUUGAUUGGUUCUCUCAAAGGUUUUGCUCAAAGAUUAUCUAGGCAUGACAACAAUGAUGUAGAAAAUGCUUUCCAAACACUUACAGUGAAUCCAAAAACUCAAGCUAGUUCAAGUCAAAGCAAAGCCAACUUCAACAAGAAUUGGAAAGGCAAAAACAAAGCGUGGGAAGGAAAGGGUAAUUUUGAAGACAAGAAAAAGGUUGAGAAGAGUUUGUAUGUUUCGAAGUGCAAAAUUUGUGACAAAGCUCAUUCCGGUGAAUGUUGGUUCAAAGGAAAAGUGAAAUGCCACAAGUGUAGCAAAUUCGGGCAUAUGCAAAAGGAUUGUACCUACAAAGAUAAUCAGCUAGCUCACUACACCAAAGCAGAAGAUGAAGAGACCAAUAUGUUUUAUGUUGGUCAUGAUACAACCGUCCAAGAAGAAGCUAAAGUUUGGUUUUGUGGACAGCGGCUGUAGCAAUCAUAUGACGGCGAAUAAGAACAUUCUCCAUAAUGUUGACACUACAAACCUAACCCGAGUGAAGAUGGGAAAAUGGGCAGCUAGUCGAUACAUUGGGAAGAGGUACUAUUGCCGUGCAUACGAAGAAUGGAAAGAUGUUCAUCAAGGAUGUCAUGUUAGUUCCUGAUUUGAAGCAAAAUUUGCUAAGUCUUGGACAACUCAUUGAGCAUGGCUACUACUUAUAUUUUGGAGACAAUACUUGCAAGAUAUAUGAUAGGAGGAAUCGUCAACAACUCGUGGCUAAGAUUGAGAUAAGGAAGAGUAGAAGUUUUCCUCUCACAAUUGAGUAUGCAACUCAAUCUGCAUUCAAGAUGGAAGUGCAAGAAGAUUCAAAGCUAUGGCAUAAAAGGCUUGGCCACUUGAAUUUUCAAAGUCUCAAGAAGCUACAAGAAAAAGAAAUGGUGCAUGGGUUGCCGAGUAUCCAAGAAAAUGAAGAAAUCUGUGAAGGGUGGGUGUGCACUUAGGAAGCAUCAUAGAGAUUCAUUUCCACAUGGUAAAGCUUGGAGAGCAAAAGUUCCAUUGGAAUUGAUUCAUACAGAUGUUUGUGGACCCAUGAAGACCUCUACUCAAGUGGGAAACAAGUAUUUCCUAAUCUUCGUGGAUGAUUAUUCCAGAAUGACUUGGGUAUACUUUCUAAGACAGAAAUAAGAAGUGUUCUCAAUCUUCAAGAAGUUUCAAGCUAUGGUUGAGCGACAAUCUGGGUAUCUAAUCAAAGUUCUUAGAAGUGACAGAGGAGGAGAGUAUACAUCCAUAGAAUUUGAUAAGUUUUGUCAAGAUAUUGGCUUGGAAAGACAACUUACUGUCAGCUACACUCCACAACAAAAUGGAGUAGCUGAGAGAAAAAAACAGAACCAUAGUCGAAAUGGCUAAGGCAAUGUUACAUGACAAGGGAAUACCUCAAUAUUUGUGGGGUGAGGCAGUUAAUACAGCGGUCUACUUGAUGAAUAGGUAUCCAACAGUGGCAGUUGAAGAUAAGACACCAUUUGAGGCAUGGAGUGGAAGAAAGCCUUCCGUGAAUCAUUUGAGAGUGUUUGGGUCAAUCUGCUUUGCUUAUGUUCCGAAAGAACUAAGACAAAAACUUGAUGAGUCAAGUGAAAGAUGCAUUUUCAUAGGCUAUGCUUCAUACACAAAAGGGUACAGACUCUACAAUUUAAAAAGGAAGAAAGUUGUGGUUUGUAGAGAUGUUAUUUUUAGUGAGAAAUCUUCGUGGGAUUGGAAUCAAGCAACCAUCCGAGAGGAAUCUGCACAAAUCAGAAUUGAAGAAGAAAAUCAACCAAAUGAAGAGGAAAUUGAGCCAGAAAUUCCACAAUUAUCACCUGAAAACAGUCCUCAAGCUCACUCUCCUACACUUUCAAGUCAAGUUCAACGCCGGUUCGGUUAAGGAGCUUAAAUGAAGUCUUUGAAAGCUGCAAUUUUUGUGUUGAAGAACCAGAAAACAUUGAUGAUGCAGUGAAAGAAGAGACUUGGAAGGCUGCAAUGCAAGAGGAGAUCAAUGUCAUUGUGAAAAACAAGACAUGGGAACUAGUGGACAGACCUUGUGGCAACUCGUCAUUGGAGUGAAGUGGAUUUAUAAGACUAAGCUCAAUCAAGAUGGUUCCGUUCAAAGGAACAAAGCUAGAAUGGUAGCAAAGGGUUAUUCUCAGAAACCCGGGAUUGAUUUCCAAGAAACAUUUGCACCGGUAGCUAGGCAUGAAACAAUCAGAGGCCUUAUUUCCGUAGCUGCUCAGAAGGGGUGGUUUCUACACCAACUUGAUGUCAAGUCGGCUUUCCUAAAUGGAGUCCUAAAAGAAGAGGUGUUCGUUGACCAACCUCAAGGAUUUGUUCUUAAAGGACAAGAGCACAAGGUGUAUAAGCUUAAGAAGGCACUUUAUGGCCUGAAACAAGCUCCGAGAGCAUGGUAUGGAGAGAUCGACUCAUAUUUCAAUGAAAGAGGUUUUCAAAGAAGUGAGAAUGAACCUGCCCUCUAUGUCAAAACAGAAGGUAUUUCAGAUAUCCUUAUUGUUUCCUUAUAUGUUGAUGAUUUGGUUUAUACUGGAAGUAGUCGUAAUAUGAUCUUGAAUUUCAAGAAUGACAUGAUGAGGAAAUAUGAGAUGAGUAAUCUAGGCAUGUUGCAUUAUUUUUUGGGAAUUAGUAUCAUUCAAUCAAAUGAUGGUAUCUUUAUUACUCAAAAGAAAUAUGCAAAAACACUUCUAGAAAAGUUCAAAAUGGUUGGUUGCAAGCCUGUUGCAACACCUCUAGUUGUGAAUGAAAAGUUUCAAAGAGAAGAUGGUAGUGGUGAUGCUGAUGAAUCUGUGUAUAGAAGCCUGGUUGGGAGUUUGUUGUAUUUGACAACGACUAGACCCGAUAUUAUGUAUGCUGCAAGCUUGUUGUCCAGAUUUAUGCACAAGCCUACUUGCAUUCACUAUGGAGCUGCAAAGAGGAUCCUAAGAUACAUACAAGGUACACUUGACUUUGGUAUUAUGUAUGAAAGGAAUGUUAAGCCCAAAUUGUAUGGGUUCUGUGAUAGUGACUGGGGAGGUAGUGUGGAUGACUUGAAGAGCACAUCUGGCUAUACUUUUACAUUAGGGACUGGUGUAUUCUCUUGGGCAUCUAAGAAACAGAAAUCAGUUGCACUAUCAACGGCAGAGGCUGAGUAUGUGUCGGCUUCAAUUGCAACUUCUCAAGUAGUGUGGCUGAGAAGAAUUAUGCAAGAUUUUGGUGAGAAACAAGAAUCAGCAACUCAUAUCCUUUGUGACAAUAAGUCAGCUAUUGCCAUGAGCAAGAAUCCUGUCUGUCAUGGUAAAUCAAAGCAUAUUGCUCUGAAGCAUCACUACAUCAGAGGUGCUGUGGAAGACAAGGAAGUGGAUGUGGUCUACUGCAAGACAGAAGAUCAAGUUACUGAUAUCUUCACCAAGGCAUUACCAAAGGACAGAUUCAUCUACCUAAGAGAACUUUUGGGAGUGAAGCAGCAAAGCAUUAAGAGGGAGUGUUAAAAGUUAAUGCUUUACUUAAACUGAUUCUGCUUACUGAAACUGAUUCUGUGUAAAAAGGCUGACUGUUGCCUUUAUCAGUCGACCCAUUCUCUUUAUCAGUCGACCCAAUUACUUCAGUCGGCUUAUGUAUUGAGCCAUAUAUAUCAGAAAUAUCUGAAUGAAAAUAUCAGAUCUCUAUUUUAAGUAAAAAGCAUCAGCCAUCUGUUUCCAAAAAACUCUUUGCACUCUGUUUCUUUGAUUUUCAAUCUUUAUCAUUUUAUUCAAGUUUUAUUAAUGAUGAAAGAUUGUCUAAAUACCAACAAGAUCCAUAACUCCCUGGUUGCUAGAUACUUGGCAUCAUCCCUGGUAUAGUACCUAUGAGGUCCAUUACAGAGAGGCAGAAUGUAUGAGGUUGGAAAUGGAAGAGCUACUGUACUCUUAUGGCGUUGAUAUAGUGUUCAAUGGACAUGUAAGUAACGAUAACCACCAAUGAUUGUCACAAUCUUUGAUAGGUAACAUGUUUCUUUCUUAUAGCCAGAAACUAUGUGGAAGAAGUGGUAUAAGGGUCAUUCGACUGAGGCUUUCUUUCAUACCAGUAACCAGAUAGUGAUAGAAAGCUAGAAGGAACUGCAGUUUAUGCUUUAAACUUUUGAGAAAACAAAUUUAAUAUGAAAUUAAUUGGUACUUGGUUCCCUUAUUGCUAAAACACAUAACACAAACUUAUUUGAAACGCUAUCAGAAACAAUGACCUUAUCUUGAAACUCUUAUCACAGCACUACCAUUUGGUUCCGAUCCCAAGCAUGAUUUUAUUAAGUUGUCCUUAGUGUCUAUGAAUGAUGACAAUUUUCCUCAUUGUAACUAAAUAUCUUCUCGCUUUAAAGUGCACUGAAUGUUCUUCUGUUUUCUUGAAUAAAACAAUAGGUUCAUGCCUACGAGCGAUCGAAUCGAGUUUAUGAUUACAACUUAGAUCACUGUGGUCCUGUAUAUCUCACCGUUGGAGACGAGGGUAAUCGGGAGAAGAUGGCAGUUCAAGAUGCUGACGAACCUGGUCAUUGCCCAUAGCCAUCAAUUACUUCUGAUCAACACCUAGGUGAUGGUGCCUUUUGUGCAGAGAACUUUACCUCCGGCCCAGCAGCAGGUAAAUUUUGUUAGGAUCGGCAACCGGAUUACAGUGCUUUCAGAGAAAGCAGCUUUGGCCAUGGGAUCCUUGAGGUACUCCUUUUUCUAUGUUUCUGUUUGGCAAAUAUCCAGUCUGACAAUGCAUUCAAUUGUCUAUAAACGUUAUACUUUAAUUUGUAUGACCCUACACUACAUAUGAUACAACUUGAAAAUGAUUGAUGGAAAGAUGAGCAUGUGCUUGACUGUCAAUGUGUAUAGAAAGACCACACAUGGGUAAAUGUUAUGGAACCAGUUUAAAUCAUUUUUACCAUUCCACUGCAGUGUCAAGAGAAAAUCACUUAGCACCAAUAUCUGUUUAUACGGAGUGCGAAAAUCCUGUGACUGACUUGAAUACCCUUGAUCGGUUAUUGAGUAGCAAACAUAUAGAUGUAGGCUAGUAGGCUACCUGGAUUAUACACUAAGCGUGCAUUUUGAUGUGCAUAACUUGCAGGUGAAGAAUGAGACUUGGGCUUUGUGGACAUGGUACCAGAACCAGGACUCCGACAAUAAAAUUGGAGAUCAAAUUUAUAUAGUGAGGCAGCCUGAUAAAUGCUGCAUCCACCAUUUGUUCGAAAGUUGGCUUGCUGACCUCUAAUUCUCACUGCUGCUUGCUGGGAAAAAUUUAUUAUUAAGAUCCCAAAUCAAUUGACCAUUCUUAUCUGUUAGUUUAUAAGUGUAUAUGCUGAAAUAUAAUAAGAAGUCAGCUUUAAAUAUCAGCCCUUGGAUCAUAGUCCAAGUGUGCAGCUAAGAUGUAAUCUUAGAUUAAGUAAUAUUUGCUCUUGCUACAUGUGCUUAGUGUGUGCGUAUGAAUCAAAUAGAGUGCAGAGUCUUUUCUUCUUCUUCAAGCUUAACUCUCUCUUUCUCUAAAACUCUCAUCUUCCUCUUCUUCAGUACUCAUAGAUUGAUUGAAACUUAUAUACAAGAUUAUAGUCUGUAUGCUAACAUGGCCUCAGAGCCAGGUUUGAUCAAUUGAUACUGGGCGUUUAGAUCUGUGAAGAGUGUUACCCAGAAAUCGAGUCGAUUAUGAUCUGAGUCUAACAUGGCAGGAUCGGGUAGUAGUGAGGUGAGAACACCGAUUUUCAAAGGUGAUAAUUAUGAGUUCUGGAGUAUUAAGAUGAAAACGAUUUUCAAAUCUCACGGACUGUGGGAUCUGGUUGAGAAAGGUUUCGAGAGUUCAGAUUCGAAGGAUGAUGGUGAAUCUGAUGGAAAGAAGAAAGAAAAUGAGGAGUCGAGCAGUAUUGAGAAGCUAUCUCUAGCUGAGAGACUGAUGAAAGAUGCUAAAGCUAUGGGUCUGAUUUAAGGAGCUGUUUCAGAUGAAAUAUUUCCUAGAAUCUCUUAUGAAGAAACCUCAAAAGGCGCAUGGGAUACUCUGCAACAAGACCAUGGUGAUAAACAGGUUAGAAAUGUUAAAUUGCAAGGUCUUCGUAGGGAAUUUGAAUAUACAAGAAUGCGAGAUGAUGAAUCACUUUCUGUUUAUCUUACAAAGUUAUUUGAUCUGAUAAAUCAAAUGCGGAGUUAUGGAGAGGAGUUAUCUCGAGAGAGGAUUGUUCAAAAGUUAUUGAUUAGUUUGCCAUCAGCUUAUGAUUCUAUAUGCUCUGUUAUUGAACAUUCGAAGGAUUUGGAUGUGAUUGAGGUACAAGAAGUAGUGGCUUCCUUGAAGAGUUUUGAGCUACGUCUAGAUAGACAUUCUGAGCACAAAACUGAGAAAGCAUUUGCUAGUCUCAAUGUGAAUCCCAAACCAGCUAAAUUCACUGGAAAUCAAAGUGCAAGGUACCAUAAGAAUUGGAAAGAAAAAGGGAAGAGGUGGGAUAACAAACCCACUGAUGGUGCUAGAAAUCCUUGUAAACAUUGUGAUAAGCUACAUUUUGGUGAGUGCCGAUUCAAGGGUAAACCAAAGUGUUAUAACUGUGAUAAGUUUGGUCAUCUUGCAAGGGAUUGUAAUAGCAAGAAACCAGUGCAACAGCUCAAUUAUGCAAAUAAGGUAGAAUCUACACCCACCAUGUUUUAUGCUAGUAAUCAAAUUAAUACUAGUGUAAAGGACUGUGAUGAUGUAUGGUAUGUAGAUAGUGGGUGUAGCAAUCAUAUGACUGGAAGGGAGGAUUUACUUGUGGAUAUUGAUAAGAAUGUAACUGCAAAAGUUGAAAUGGGUACUGGACAGCUUGUUGAUGUAACUGGUAAAGGGAGUCUUGUAGUUGAAACUAAACUAGGCAAGAGAUAUAUAAAGGAGGUUAUGCUUGUGCCUGGACUGAAAGAAAAUUUGCUCAGUGUGGGUCAAAUGAUGGAGCACGGUUAUUAUUUGGUGUUUGGAGGUCACAAGGUGGAAAUCUAUGAUGAUAGCUCAUAUUCCAACAUGGUUGCUAAAGUUCCAAUGAAGGGAAAUCGAAGUUUUCCAAUGAAAUUACAGACUGGAAUACAUAUUGCUUUCAAGGCAAAUGUAUGUGCUUCUACUACUAUGUGGCAUAAAAGAUUGGGACACCUAAACAUGAGCAGUUUGAAAUUGAUGCAGGAACAAGAAAUGGUAGUAGGAUUACCAGAAAUCAAAGUAGUUAAAGGAGUAUGUGAAGGUUGUGUUCUCGGCAAAUAAUGUAGAGAAGCAUUUCCAAGGGAAGCUAAUACUAGAGCAUCAAUUCCUCUAGAGCUUGUGCAUAGUGACAUUUGUGGUCCGAUGCAGACAACUACAAAAGCUGGCAAUAGAUAUUUUCUUACUUUCAUAGAUGACUGCACCCGGAUGUGUUGGGUUUAUUUUUUAAGGGCAUAAAUCUGAAGUUCUCAGUGUGUUUUUAAAAAGUUCAAAGCCACUGUGGAGUUGCAGAGUGGUUAUAAUCUAAAGCAGCUUAGGAGUGAUCGAGGAGGUGAAUACACUUCAAUGGAGUUUAACAAGUUUGUUGAAGAUGUAGGCAUGGAAAGACAACUUACCACUCCAUACACACCACAGCAAAACGGUGUGGCAGAGCGAAAGAACAGAACCAUUGUGGAAAUGGCUAAGUGUCUCAUGUUGGAGAAGGACAUCCCACUUGAAUCUUGGGCUGAGGCAGUUAAUACCUCAGUGUAUAUUCUGAAUAGAUGUCCAACUAAAGCUUUACAUAAGAAGACACCUUUUGAAGCUUACAGUGGGAGAAAACCAGGAAUUAAGCAUCUAAAGGUGUUUGGUUCUUUGUGUUAUGCUCAUGUGCCAAGUCAAUAGAGACAAAAAUUCGAUUUGGCAAGCAAGAGGUGUAUUUUCUUGGGAUAUGGUAGUUGUGAGAAGGGAUAUAGACUUUAUAACAUUGAAUCUGGAAAGGUGACUAUUUCCAGAGAUGUUGUGUUUAAUGAAGAAGCAUGUUGGGAUUGGAAUGCACAGAAGGAAAGAAGGGAGAGUAUCCAGAUCAUUGAAAUGUCUGAAGGAGAACAAAACUGUGAAGGAGGUGCUUGUGAUUCUGAAACACUCAGUGAAGAGAAUGUUGGGCCAAGCUUAGUUACUGAGCUCUCUGAUCAAGAAAGAAUGACAGGUCCACAGGAUUUUGAUCACACUCCUCUCAAGUACAAAAACAUUGCAGAAAUAUAUGAGAAGUGUAAUCUGUGCAUUAUAGAACCCGAAUGUUUUGAAGAAGCUGCCAAGGAUGAAUCAUGGCAGAAGGCUAUGGAAGAUGAAAUUUCUAUGAUUGAGAAGAAUCAUACUUGGGAUCUUGUUGAUAGACCAUUUGAUAAACCAAUCAUUGGAGUCAAAUGGGUUUAUAAAACAAAACAAAAUCUGGAUGGUUCAGUGCAGAAAAACAAAUCACGGUUGGUUGCAAAAGGUUACUCUCAGAAGCCUGGAAUCGAUUUUAAUGAAACUUUUGCACCAGUGGCAAGACUUGAUACUGUGAGAACUUUAGUGGCCCUUGCUGCACAGAAAUGAUGGAAAUUUUUCAGUUAGAUGUAAAGUCUGCAUUUCUAAAUGGAGUGUUGAAUGAAGAGGUGUAUGUGGAUCAACCAUCUGGUUUUGUUAUACAGGGCAAAGAAGACAAAGUGUACAGGCUCAGGAAAGCUUUAUAUGGUUUGAAACAAGCUCCAAGAGCUUGGUAUGAAGAAAUAAAUUCCUAUUUUGUAAAGGCUGGAUUCCACAGAAGUCCGAGUGAAGCUACUCUUUAUAUCAAGACAUCUCACAGUGGCAUUCUCAUUGUGUCACUAUAUGUAGAUGAUAUUAUCUACACUGGAAGUUCAAAGGAGAUGAUAGCAGAGUUCAAAGGUGAGAUGAUGAGACAAUAUGAGAUGACUGAUCUAGGAUUACUUCAUCAUUUCCUUGGUCUUGGGGUACUGCAGACAGAUAAUUACAUCUUCUUGCAUCAAAAGAAAUAUGCAAAGACUUUGCUUGAGAAAUUUGGACUUAGGGAUUGCAAGCCGGUUGCAACACCAUUAGCUAUGAAUGAAAGACUUACAAAAGUAGAUGGAAGUGAUCUGGCAGAUGAGACUUUAUAUAGACAAAUGGUGGGAAGUUUGCUAUAUUUGACAGCAACAAGGCCAGAUAUUAUGUUUGCAGCAAGCUUAUUGGCUAGGUUUAUGCACAAUCCUACCAAGAAGCAUAUGGGGACAGCUAAGAGAGUUCUGAGAUACAUACAAGGCACUGUGAACUAUGAAGUUGUUUAUGAGAAGGGAAAAUGAGUAGUGUUGGUUGGUUAUUGUGAUAGUGAUUGGAGUGGAAGUGAAGAUGAUAUGAGGAGUACAUCUGGCUAUGCAUUCAAUCUUGGUUCUGGUGUGUUUUCUUGGGCCUCAAUCAAACAAAGCAGUGUUGCUUUUUCAACCGCAGAGGCAAAAUACAUCAGUGCAGCAGAAGCUACUGCACAGGCCAUUUGGCUAAGAUUUGUACUCUCUGAUUUCGGGGAAGAACAAGCAGAACCAACUAAGUUGUUGUGUGAUAAUACUUCAGCAAUUGCCAUAUCAAAGAAUCCAGUUCAUCAUCACAAAACCAGGCACAUUAAUCGGAAAUUUCAUUUCAUCCGAGAUGCACUUCAAGAUGGUGAAAUUGAUCUGGUAUACUGCAAGACUGAAGAGCAGAUUGCAGAUAUAUUCACUAAAGCUUUGGCAAGGGAUCGAUUUGAAUUACUGAGGACAGCUUUGGGAGUGAUUUCAGCACAUCACUUAGAAGGGAGUGUUAGUUUAUAAGUGUAUAUGUUGAAAUAUAAUAAGAAGUCAGCUUUAAAUAUCAGCCCUUGGAUCAUAGUCCAAGUGUGCAGCUAAGAUGUAAUCUUAGAUUAAGUAAUAUUUGCUCUUGCUACAUGUGCUUAGUGUGUGUGUAUGAAUCAAAUAGAGUGCAGAGUCUUUUCUUCUUCUUCAAGCUUAACUCUCUCUUUCUCUAAAACUCUCAUCUUCCUCUUCUUCAGUACUCAUAGAUUGAUUGAAACUUAUAUACAAGAUUAUAGUCUGUAUACUAACAACUAAUAUAGAGACGACCGCUGAGUUCCAAUUGAAAACAAGUGGGCCCAACGUCAGCCGACCUCUGAGUUUCAAUCACCGAUGUGGAUCUCCACGUGUGAACCACUAAAUGAGGUUACACGUGAGGGGGAGUGUUAAACUGUCCCACAUCGGUGGGGUGAAGAAAACCAAAGGGGUUUAAAUAGUAUUACCCCACUCUAACUAAUACCGAGGCCUUUUGUGGUAAAACCCCACACCUGAGGAUUGUGCAGGUGGUUAAGUGGGGACAGUAUCGGUGUCGUUAGAGUGGGGCGGGCCCAGCGAUCCAAAAAUUCCAACAUUAUCUAGAUAGGAAUAGGAUGGAAGGUUGCAGAAAGAGUAGGAAGAUGGGGUUUCACCUAUGUAUACACACUAUAUAUAUAAGAGGAGGGGGUUGGGGGGGGUAGGGGUGGGGGGUGGGGGGGGGCGGGGAGAGAGAGAGAGAGAGAGCAGAAGAAGAGCAACUCCGCUGUUGUUGUAUGUAAAUGAUAAAAUCUCGUUUAUACGUCUCCUUUGUAACUUGAAUAUAUACUCUCUCAACCAGUUUAUACAACAACAAACGUGUAAGAUUGGUUCCUGGAGCAAUUUCGGAUAUUGAAUUCUAAACUAAUUGCGUAUUUUUGUUGAGUUAUCAAAAAAUUUCCCCUCCCCUUAUUGUGAAGCCGAGAAAUUGUUGGAAGUGACUUUUAUACUGUCACAUGGUGUUACCAGUUCACUGAUGUUAUGGUGGUACUGCUUAAAAGGGUGGCGUUUCGACAAAAUCCUUAGCUCCCGAGCUCACAAUGCACCCCGUCCAUAAGUCAUUCGGAGUUUGGACGGAACGAUGAGGUUCGCUACUACCUCCGUACAAAAAACCUUCAACAACUUCCCGUUCAUUGUAUUCUCCAUUAAAUUCCAGGCCAGGGGUUCCACCUCCAUCUCAUAGAGAUUAUCAUCACCUGUUGUUUCUGUGAAUAAUGUAAAUUUCUUACCAAAACAUUUGUAAUAUUGUGCCAAUUAUAUUAUAUAUUUGCAGGAUGCAUAGCAAUUUGGUGUCAGUAAAACUUUGUCUGCCGCAUAUUUGAUCAUGUUUUAACUUCGGAAUUUCAUGGUCUUGUUAAUUUUGACGGAUUUUGAAAGGCUUUUAAAACAAAUUAGAAUCAAACUUUCGAAUUUACUACCCCAAACAAAUUGCACUGCAAAUUACCAUAAUCAGAAUUCAUCAGGUCAUGUACGUACUACAUAACAUUUACUUAGGAUAUGAAAUGGUGAGAUCGAUAAAUUCGAAAUCAUCAUUAUAUUGUUGUUCUUAUUACAUUAAUAUAGAUAUAUGUAGCCACUAUAUAUACCUAUUAGAGUGAAUACGAUACCAAUGCCCCACAAUUUGUUGUCCUGACACAAUCGACCGGAUUCGCUGCGUUGUAGUCAAAACAGAUGACGACUUCCUGCAGAUACGCGAUCCCCCCGUCCUUCUUGCACAUAAGAAGAGGUGUUUUCCCUCCUAUAGUCCGUCGAAUGGCCGAUUCAAGGUCGAUGUAAUGAUAUUGAUAUCCUGGUACAAUCCCAGUUGUUUGAGAAAAUAGAUGUUGUGCAUUGUAGGUCAACCAUAAUCUAUGAGCUUCGUGGAAGUAUUGUGUCUGGGAAAAUUUAUUGUCCGAGCACCUGCCGUGCUUGUUGUACUCUUGCGCCCAGAAAUCCAUAUUUGUCCGUCUAUUGUUGAAGCUGGGCCAGGAAUUGGACAAAAGUAAUUGCAGAUUAUGAUCAGCAAUCAUCUGAAGCACAAAGACGAGAAGUUACAAGCAUUUCAGAGAGCUGCAGGAGAAAAAAAACAAACUGAAAUGAGUAUAUAUAUUCAAUGUGUACCUGAUUUCUGUUGAAUAGGGUGCCAGCGCAGAGUAUAGGUGCAGAUGGAUCGGUAAAGUUGCUCGGCCAGAGGCCGUGUGUCGUAAAGGUAUGCCGUAGAACUUGUUGGUUUCCACAAAUUCCAUUCCCAAGGCAGAAGACGUAUUGGAAGAUAUCAUAUGGUGUGGCAGCAUUGCUCUUUCCGACAUAAGUGACGAAGCAAAGAGCGAUGACAACGAGAACAUGUUGUGCGGAAGCGUCAAAUGUGAAACCAAUAAACUACAACGGCAAAAUAUGAUAAACUACAAUGGCAAAAUAUGAUAAGACAAAUAAUCUAAAUAACACAAGGAUUUAUACUGGUUCGGCGUAAGCCUACGUCCAGUUCCGAGACGGCGAGGAAAUUCCACUAAUAUCAAAAGGAGAUUACAAAUAGAGUUCAACACUCAAACCCAAAUCCCACAUACACCCAAUAGCUUUCACUCAUAUAAAGAACAAAUAGAGAAGAAGAAACACAUACCAAAUCCUUCUCUCCCAAAAGCCACAAAAUGUAGCAAUAUAUCUUUGAAUGAAUGAUUGCACAAAUGGAGAACAGUAAAACAGCAGCACUCAAUUUUCUUCUCUAUCGGCUGCUCUCUGUUUUCUGCUAUAUGCUGCCGCUGAGUUUCUGCUCUCUUUUUUUCUGCUAUCUGCUGCCGCUGAGUUUCUGCUCUCUUUACUGACCAAAAGGCAUGAAUUGCCUUAUAUAAGGCUGGUGCCUUUUAAUUAAACCCUAGCUGCCAUGUGGCUUUCAAAUGGGUAACAAAAGGCCAAACCUAUUUGGGUUUGAGACAAAAAACUAAAGGCCCAAGAAGUAUUGAGCCACAAAAUCCAACAGAACAAUCUUGAAGAAGUGCAUGGUUGUCAACCAAUUAUCAAAAGAACAAAGGGAGGGAGGGAGGAUGGGAUGAGAAAUAACAAGGAAAGCUAAAGAGUGAAUGAAGUGUGAAUUUUCAAAGAAAUGAAGAGGUGUUUAAAUAGUUAGAGUUGAGGUUAAGGGUAGGGUUUGGAGAAAUUAAUUAAGGUGAAGCUAACUAGCAAAGAUGAUAAUAAUUAAGGUCAAGUAAGUGUGAACAGAUCCUGAACUAGGGAAUGCCUCUUUCUUGUUAUGCAAGGCUUUGCAUUCUCAUAUGCAUGCUAUAAAGGGUGGUAACCGUGUAGUGGUUGAUUCAUCAACAACCCAAUCAACCCAAUUAUAGCGGUUCCUCAUAUAUCAGAUUCAGACCCCAAGCAAGCUAAUAGUCUCAAUUUUUAGAUUAUAAUUCUAUUUCAGAAAGCCAUUCAGGACCACGCUAGCUAAAUAUGGUUCCAAUCGAAUAUAAACAGAAACGAUUUGGACAUUGUUUAUGUAUCUUAUCUUGUAAAUUGAAGUUUCAACCACUACCUUCUAGCAGUGGUAAUUCUUAUCUUUGAAAUUUUGGAGCUCUCCUCUCCUCUUCAUGGUUUCUAUUCAACUUACUUAUCCCGGUUGCAGAUAAUUAAUUAACUUGUGGAUUAAGUAAAUAGCUAUUUCAAUUUGCUGCUACUCACCCUGGAGCUAGCCUUCGGACCGGGGAAAUCAUAUUGUCCUAUAGACACCCGCGCUUCGUCGCUGCAAGGCGACACCGCAGGGUGGAUAUCUGCGGGUACUCAUCAUUUCAUUUCAUGGUUGUAUUGCUUCACAUUUGCAGAUUGUUAACACAACAUGCCUUCUGUUUAGUUAAUUCAUUAAUCAAACAUGAUCAAAUAUACAACAUACAAAUUGUUAGAAUUGAGGUCAAGUGUAGAGUGUAGAGAAAGAUUAAGUUGAAGCUAGCUAGCAAAGGUGAUAAUAAUUAAGGUCAAGUGAGUGUGAACACAUUCGGAAUUAGGGAAUGCAUCUUUCUUGUUGCCCACGGCAAUGCGUUCUCAUGCUAUAAAGGGUAGUAACUGUGUAGUGGACGAUUCAUCAUCAACCCAAUUAUAUAAAGUGGUUCAUCAUAUAUCAGAUUCAAACCCUAAGCUAGCUAGUAGUCCAAAUUUUAGAUUAUAAUUCUGUUUCAAAAAUCCAUUCAGGACAACGCUAGCUAAACAUGGUUCCGAACGAAAAAAUACAGAAACGAUUUAGGCAUUGCUUGCGUAUCUCAUCUUGUAAAAACGUACAACUUACAAUACACUUAAUUUCGAACAUUGUUUGAGUAUCUCAUCUUCUUCGUUGAAAGGCAACACCGCAGGGUGGAUAUCUGCGGGUAGCCAUCAUUUCGUUUCUUGGUUGUAUUGCUUCAUAUACUCGUAAAUUUUUAUCGACUCCAAGUUUCUUAAAGACAUCCAUAAUUUGAACAACAAAAGGAUUUCAUUACUUUCGAUAUCUACGUACACAUGUACUUGUUGUUGCCUUCCGUGACCGAAACCAUACUCUUCACAUAUACAACGGGCGAAUGAUUUGCUUUGCACAGUGGCAAAUAAUACGGUUGCGGAGGAAAAAUGGGAUUGAUCCUUACAGCACUUUGAAUGGGAAGAUUUUUAAGCUUCUUAGUACGGAAGUUAUAGCAGACUAUGCCUCCAUUUUCCUCUACUGUAAGAACCUCGUCGCUUUUCCACAUUGGCAAGCCUCCAUUUCCCUCUACUGUAAGAACCUCGUCGCUUUUCCACAUUGCCAAUGUGGAGUACAGGGGCAAGCCGGACCUUGAGAAUGAUGGGAUCUUGGCAGCAAAGUGUUUUGUCCAAACACCACCCGCAUUUUUCGGACCACCACCAGAAUCAUCAUCCAUUAGCCACAAUUCAAAGGGUGGUGUAUCACCAUCUUCAAAGGUAUUACGAUUCAAGCGAAAGAGAGCGAUGGAUUCAUUCCACACCUUAAGACGCAUUUCAAUACCAAUUCCUUCGAAAUUGUUGAACUCUACCAUCUCAUGUGGUAACAGUAUGUCAUGAAACACCUCACGACUCAUGUCAAACCAAACGAUCACUCGCCUAAUUUUUUCUUGCUCGGGAUAGGUGACAUCAUAGCUAUCGGCAAAUUCCUUUUGUUGCUCACUUCCUAUCCAAUAACACAUCCCCUUGAAGUACACCUGAAAAGUUUCAGGCCAAAGGAAAGUAGUUUCCGUUUCUAAAGAAUAAGGCUCGAUCUCCCUCCAAGAAUUAGUUCCUAGGGUAUACACUACUACCUUGGGAGGAUGAAUAAUCAAAUGUUCUGUGCCGCCAUGCAAUUCUGAACCAGAAAAUCCAAUUUUGACAACUUUGUAAUCUUUAGAUUUAGGAUCAUAGCCUAAUCCCAAAACAUCGUCGAACCGAUCUGUUAGUGGCAUGUAAGGCAUAGACAACCACCAAGGAUGAGGAUCCCUAAAGGAUGCUUCGUCGAACCAAUCUGGACUGUAUGUCUCCGAGGGAAGGACCCUGAAUUCCUGAAUUGCCGGAUUCCACAAAAGCACCUUAGUAGAAUUAGGACGAGCUAGACAAAUGAUCCCAUCACAAUGACCUAUAACAUGAAAUGAUUGAUCAUCUCCAAUCUCCAGACUCAUAGAAAGAGGAAUAUUGACGUCCUCGAUCCCAGAAAGAGUGCUACACUUGUGCACACCACCAUCGUCAUCAUCAACAAUGACAUUGUCAAAAGUAAGUACUGAGAAUACGGAUUGAAAUUUGUCCCCAUUUGGGUCCUCCGUAGAAGGGACUAACAUUCGCUUCAGAAGGACACGAGUGGACUGAUCGUCCAGCAAGGAAUGGGAGAGGUGCUUGUCGACGAACCUGGGGUCGUUGAUGAGAGCAUGCCACCAUUUAGCGACGCACUUGAAUCGCAUCAGAGAUUUCGGAGGCAGAGUUGACAGAUAUUCACCAACAAAUCUUGUCCGAUUUUGGAUGUUUUGUUCGUCAUUUGUGCAAUGUCAAUUAUGGACCUCACCCUUGUUCUACGAUACACACAAAGACCAACACAACAAGAUCAGAAGAUUCCACAAUUACACAUUCUCUCUAAUUAAGCAUAUUCUCAAAAGCUCAUCAUCAUCUGGUAUUGCUAUUUCUUGUUAAAAAAAAAAAAAAAAACUCAUGGAUACAUUCAAAAAUUUAGCCCUACUGAAAAUGCCAAUUGAAAUUCAAAAGCGAAAUAAGAAUCGAAGCAAAAAAAGUAUCCUUCUUUCAUUUAAAAAAAAAUAUAAAAACUGAAAUUGAAUAAUAAAAAGUUAGAAAUGAGGUUACCUUGUUGUAGACUAGGCAGUAGGAAGAGGAAGAGACCGAAGCAGAAGCAGCGCUGUGAGUGAGAGGGAAAGGGGCAGACUCGGCGCAGAAAAUGUAUUUUCUGCGUUUUGUUCGUGCAGCUGCGUGCGAUAAUGCGAUGGCAGAGAGGGGUUUUUAUUUUGAUUCUUGUGCGACCGAUUUCCACACCCUCCCAAAUUUACGAACUUACGCUCCCAAAUUCGGCCGCGGUUUGCAGUCUUCAAUUCCGUGUCUUAAUUGUGUAUGUUCUCUUAACUUUUUAACAGAUGUCUAUAAACUUAACUUUUAAUUUAACGGUGCUAUCUUUUCAAAAGACUAAUAUAACAAAUAAAAAGAAAUAAAAGAAAAACAAAAGGUGCCUAACUCUCCACCUACCCCAUAACACUAUUGAAUUGGUGUUAUCACUGUUUAAUUUAACGGUGUUAUCUUUUUAGGGGAUACUGUCGUUUUUCUUUAAUUUUUAGUUUUUUUCUUCAAAUGUUAACACUGUUGAAUUGGUAUUAAGUUGAAGCAUGAGUCACUAAGUUAGAAAGAAGACAUGACGAAGACACUAGUUUAUGGACAUCAGACUCUUGGGCCUCAAUUUGUAAAUCAGAUUAAUAGUCUCCGUGGUGAUAGAGUAUUCGGAGGAAAGUCUAUGUAGUAAAAAGAUUGCCGAGCUCUUCCAGCGGCUCUACUCCAAGCCCAGCCGUGACGCCUGCUCCCUCGUUUGCAAGCGCUAGCUUGCCCUCGAGCGCCUCAGCAGCACUGCCCUUUGCAUUGGCGGCCGACCGGUAUAUCGAUAGCUUAUUUGUUGGGUUCGUUAGGCAAGUGGGCAAGAAGAUUCGCCUACAGCAGCUGAUGCAGAUUCAGAAUUGUUAUUCUUGGGACUCAACCCAAAGACACAUCUGUUCUCAAAGUGCGUGACGUUUCGUGUGCUUGGGCGAGACCCACUCUUAUUUUUCAGUUUUGGUUUUCAGUAUAAGUAUUUUAACUUCAUUUCCUCUAGUUAUUUGUUUUUGUCGUUAUAAAUGUUUUUGGAAAAGUAUUUCUGUUUUCAUUUUUAAGUUGAUUCGAGCUUUUCAUCUAUAUGUUAGUACAUAUCUAUUUUGACGUUAUCUGACCUUAAAUUAUUUUGUGUUUUCGACUUUAUAUUUUAUUAAAGUAUGUUUUCUACUUUUACACUGAUGGGGAAAGAAAGUAUGAGCCUGGGGGCACGAAAGAUGGAAUCAUUGCAGCCAAUUGCGACGGCGUGGCAUUUUCCCUUUUGUGUAACCGCUCUUACCUAAUAUCUUCGUUACAUAUAUGUAUAUUAUUCUUCUUCCUAUUUUCGAAUAUUUUCAGUCUAGUAAGUGAUUUUAAAUUUCGAGGACGAAAUUAUUUUAAGGGGGGUAGAUUGUUACAACCACCCCCAAAUAAUUACACCAUUUGUUAUUUCCACCCCCAGCUGCCACGUGUCAAUCAUUAAACCUCCCCUAUUUUCCCUCUCUACGUCCCCUCACCCCCGUGACCUUCUUCUUCUUCGUCUCUCUCUCCCAAAGCUCUCUCAACUCUCCCUGUAGCUCUCUCUCUCAACCUCUCGCAUCUCUCUCUCCCUGGACUCACUAGAACCUUAGCACCUUCAGGAGAGGCUUGUAGCAAGCCUAGGACCCCUCUGCCCGCGAGAUCGAAGACACGGAGCAAAGCUCCGGUGAGCUUUCUUCCUUUUUAAGUGGGGGUAAGUCUCGAAUCCCUCAUUCUCGUACCUAGCUUAAUGUUUGGUUAUGAUUUAGAAGCUUGAACCUUCUAUUUUUACGUAGAUUUUGCUUCGGAAAUCAUUGUGGGUGAGCACACCCAUUUUCCGGCGAACCCAUGGACUUUGGAGGCUUUUCCGGUCACCUCCGACCGAGUUACGGUGUUUGGAAGGUAGAAAUCUCUCUCUCUCUUGGUUCUUCAUGUUUGUACCUAGAUUGGAGCUCGAAGCUUUCGUUUUCAAGUGACCGGAGCUGUAGCAGCUCCGGCCUUCUCUCUCGGCAAACCAGGCCAUCCGGCCUUUCCCAUUUCCUCCCCUCGGGCCUUAGGCCCGUGUUGUCUUAAGCCCAAAACCCUAGCCCCCUUUAGUUUUUUUUAAGCUUUGUUAAUUGGUUUUUAAAACCCAAAAAGGGCUCGGGCCUUAUAUAAUUUGGCCUUGGGCCGGUUAUAUAUUAAAGGGCUUAAAGCCCUGUCCUUUUUAAUAAGGCCUUAAGGCCUUUGUGUUUUGGUGGUGUGUGUGUGUUUGGGGAGUGUAUAUGUUUGGGCUUAAGCCCAAACCCCAAUUCUCACCUUAAUACCCUUUUAACCCAAAAACCCUAGGUUUCUAAAACCCAUUUAAAACCCUAAACCCAUCCAAUCCCAAAUCCCCUAUUUUAUUUAAUUCAAACCCAAUCUUUUAGAAAAUCCUUUUAUUUAUCUAUUACAUUUUUGUGCUUAGGUAAAGUUGCUAGUGGAGAAAUUCUAUAUCCUUAUUCACGCGAUUCAUCUGCUAAAGAAUAUUUGUGAGUGGACCCUUUCUAAAAUUACAUGAUUUUAUAAUUUAAUUGCAUAAAUGAUUAGUAUGCCUACGGAUUUAUGAAUUGAUUUAUGUUAAGCCUGUUUUUGGAAUUUAUUGAUUUCGUCUCGUGUUUUGGUGAGGAAAUAAAUUGCUAGCCUAGUUUGAGCUAUAUUUUAAUACAUCGUAUUUUCUAUAAAAACCAUGAACUGGUAGACUAUUUGAUGGAUGACGAUAGGAUGCUAGAACAUGUUUUAGAAACCCCUCUUUAUAGUAUAGACAAUGGAUGACUUUAUACUAUGAAGUGGUUAUUUAUGAGAGGCGUAACUAUUUGUGCGUACCUAGCAGACACUAUGCCGUCUGGGGCGAGGAACUGGUGUUGGCAUUUAGGCCGGGAGAAAUAAUCCCUAGCUACGGGCUGAGGGACAUGGAGCAAGCAUUGGGCCGGGAGUUGGUAAUCUCUGGUUACGGGCGCAGAGACCACGGAGCAGGUAUUGGGCCGAGAGUUAUAUUUAUUUAGUGAUCUUUCUAGCAGCACACCACGUUUACGAGAUGAUUUAUGAUGCGUUUACUGUUUUGAUUUCUGCAAUGAUAUUCCACGAUGUGAUUUUUGAGAUAUUUGGCAUGCUAGGUUUUUUAUUAAAUUCAUCACUUAUUAUGCUAGUAGUUUUCAUUUAUAUAAACUUUGGGGGUUAGUAUGUUGAUAACUAAUUUAUUAUUAUUGUAUAUAUAAACUUGGUCCACUCACCUUUGUUUUGCGCCCCCAUUCAGGACUUAGGAUUAAGGCACUUAAUCCCGGCGUGAAGGCACUUCCGCAGCAGCAUCUUCAGAUCGUCUCGAAUGUAGGACUCACUCCUUUAUUCAUUAAAUUUUAUCUUAAUUCUUCUUAGUGAUUAGGUUUAGUUGUAUGCUCUGAGCAUGUUCCUAAACCUUUUAACUCUUAGUAUUUUAAAUUUCUAACCCGUAUUUAUUUCUUAUUCUUAGCUUUUGUAUCAAUUAAUGGCUUUCGUCACCCUCGGGUGUCGGCCAUCACGUGUCUAUCCUGGUAUUCGGGUAAUAUCAGGAUCGGGGCGUGUCAAAUUCGGCUGUAGUUUGCUGUCGCCAAUUCAGUGUCUCAUUUGUGUUUGCUCUCUAACUUUUUAACAGCGGUCUAUAAACUUAACUUUUAAUUUAACGGUGCUAUCUUUUCAAAAGACUAAUAUAACAAAUAAAAAAAAUAAAAGAAAAACAAAAGGUGCCUAACUCUCCAACUACCCAAUUACACUAUUUAAUUGGUGUUAUCACUGUUUAAUUUAACGGUGUUGAAGCAUGUGUCACUAAGUUAGAAAGAAGACAUGACGAAGACACUAGUUUAUGGACAUCAGACUCCUGGCCCUCAAUUUGUAAAUCAGAUUAAUAGUCUCCGUGGUGAUAGAGUAUUCGGAGGAUAGUUUAUGUAGAUCACUGAGGUCUUCCGGCGGCUCGACUCCAAGCCCAGCUGUGAUGCAUGCUCCCUCGUCUGCAAGCGCUAGCUCGCCCUCAAGCGCCUCAGCAGCACCGCUCUCUGCAUUGGUGCCACCGGCAGCUCAGACUUCGUCGUCGGCCUCUUCACUGCUAAUUUCGCAACGUUCGCGCCGUUCACCUUGAUGAGCACCUUAACCUUUCGUCGAUGAGGCUGCAUUUUGUUUGAGAAAAUGAAUUUCAUUGAUUAAGAGAAUAAAAUUACAAUGUUGUGGUAUGUGUAUAUAUAUAUACACACACUCUCACAUAACUUUAACCUUCUAAACACCUUGCGACCUAUACAACAAUCUCAACUAAUUACUAAUCUAAUACAACAACCAAAACAAACAAACUAGCUCUAAGUUUUAUCACCAAUUGAAUCUUUAACAAUACUAUCCAUAACAUCCCCCCUCAAACUAAACUGAGGAGUUCAAAGGGACAGUUUGGAUUUUAAGAGCUGAAACCGGUCUUUGGAAAGAGAUUUUGUGCAUAUAUAUGAAAUUUGAUUUUGAGUGCAGAUAAAAUGGACUGAGAUGGCCUUCGAUAACAACUUUUCUCGAAUGUUGUGGUAGUUGAUCUCUACAUGCUUUGUUCUAGCAUGAAACAAAGGAUUUUUGGCAAGAGAGAUAGCUAAUUGAUUAUCACACUAGAGUUGAGGAGUACAUGUGUAACAACCCGUCCCAAUUUUUUACGGAACGAAAGGGUAAUGUUGUAAUUUCAUGUUGGGUUAGGAUAUUGGUUUAAAAUAUUGUUUUUGAGGGCCUAAAUAGGUGUGCCCAAGGGGCCCACCUAUGGAGUUUGUUCGCGACCCUCUCCCUUGUCUCUCUCUCUUUCUUCCCUCCUAUGAGUCUCACUAUCUUUUUCACUUUAUCUCUAUCACUCUUACUUCUCUCCCUUCUCUCUCGGCAAGUACCGAAGGGUGCCAUGGGGGAAAGCACCACCAGAGAAACCACCCAUUUCACCCUAUAGACCUUACGAGCUCGAACUCGAGCCCUGUUACGUAGGAAAAACCGAGCCGUGAGACUCUAACUCCAAGCUUCGACGAGAACAAAGUUCCUCGACGCGACUUUGAAUGAUUUUGUAACCUUUUUGGUUUGGGUAAGCCUCAAAACACUCCAAAUGCUUAUCUUUUCGUCCCUAUAGUUCUUUUCUAACCACGUUGUUGUGUUUUGAACAUCAAAAUACGAAGAAACACCUCGAAGGACUAUGUUCAAUGGUUUUGUGCUUAUCUAGUGGUCACUAUACCGCCACGGGUGAGGAUUAUAGUUGUUGGCUGCGGGCUAAGAGAAAUAAUCUCUGGCUACGAGUGCAGAGACAUAAAAGCGGGCAUUGGGUCAGGAGAUAAUAUUAUUGGAUACCACUAUGUAUCACACUAUAUAGGAGAUAUGUUUUAUGAAGGUUUUAUGACAUGCUACGAUUUUCGGAAAACCUAUUACAUAUUAUACUAUUGAAUUUCCAUAAAACUUUGGUGGUUAGUAUGUUGAUAAAAGUUUUAGUAAGUGUGUGUGUAUAUAUAUAUAUCAACUUGGUCCACCCAUGUUUGUUUUAUGCCCCAUCAGAACUUAGAAUCGCUGCGUACAAUCUCGACGUCAAGGCAUUUCCGCUUCGGCAGCUUCGAGUCCUCUUAGUGUAGGACCCAUUCCUUUGCUCCUUCAAUGUUAUAUUAUUUUCUUUUUAGUGUUCUAGAUUAGUUGUAUGCUCCGAACACGUUCAUCAUUUGCAUAUUAAAUAUAAUUAAAUUUAUAAGUCUUAUAUAUUUCGGGUUCUCAUGCAUUCUAAUAUGGCUUCGUCACCUUCGGGUAUCGGCCAGCACGUUCUUACCCUGAUGUUUGGGGAAUAUCAAGGUCGGGCAUGUCAACAUGGAAGAUGGAAACCAAUAUCAGCAAGUAAUUGACAUAUCCAUGUAAUUUCAUCUAUAGUAUUAGCUAAAGAUCGAUACUCUGCCUCUGUUGAAGAACGAACCACUGUUGAUUGCUUCUUAGCAUUCCAACCGAUGAUAGAUGAACCCAGAAAAUACAAUAAGUGCUAGUUGAUCUUCGAUGAAGUGUGAAAGCUGCCCAGUCAGCAUCUGAUAAGGCUUUGAGAGAUGGAAUAGAGACAGAUUUUGUAAACCAAAGACCAAUGUCAAUGGAACCCUUAAGAUAUCGAAUGAUCCUUUUGACAACUUGAAAAUGAGACUGCCUUAGACUAUGCAUGAAUUGACUGUAAAUGAUAAUUUUGGCCGAGUCCAAGUAAGAUAUUGUAAUGAACCAACCAAAGGUCGAUAUCUGCAGGAUUAUCAAACAAUGGAGAAGAAAGAUCCAUCUUGGAUGUACUGAGUGGGGUAGCACAUGGUUUUGCUCCAGCCAUGUUAGCCUUCUUUAAUAGAUCCAAGAUAUACUUUGUUUGUGAAAUGAAGAUGCCUUUGGAGGAUCGCUUGACUUCAAUUCCCAGAAAAUAAUGAAAUGCACCAAGGUCUUUAAUAAGAAAGAGAUAGCUAAGUUGAGAAAUAACAUGCUUGCAAGCUGCUGCAGAUGGCCCUGUGACAGUAAUGUCAUCAACAUAUAUCAGAACAAAGACCAUAAGAUCCCUUUUGACAAACAAUGAAUGAUCUAAUUUGGAACCAGUGAAGCCAAAAGUGUGUAAUGCUCCAUGGAGUUUUUCAUACAAGGCUCGGGGAGCCUGUUUAAGACCAUAUAGGGAUUUAUGCAAUUGACAACAUGAGUAGGAUGAAUAACAUCUUCAAAACCAGGCGGCUGUUGCAUAUAAACAGAUUCAGACAAUGUCUUACGCAGAAAAGCAUUGCUUUCAUCUAGUUGAUUGAGACUCCAAUCAAAUUGGGCAGCAAGAGUGAGUAGGAGUCGAAUUGUCACAGGCUGGGCUACUGGACUAAAAGUCUCAGUAUAAUCAAGUCAUUCUUACUGAUGAAAACCUUUGGCAACUAAGCAAGCUUUGUACCUAUCUAUGGUACCAUCAGGUUUUGCUUUUAAUCCUGAUAACCCACUUACAUCCUACAAUGUUUUGAUGAGCAGUUUUGGGUACUAAGGACCAAGUACCAGUUUGUUGUAAGGCAAGAAACUCCUCCUGCAUUGCCUUAACCCAAUGUGGAUAUUUGGAAGCUUAGAGAUAUGUAGUGGGAACAAAUUCAUUGGAAAGAUAAGAAAUGAGAGGAUGUUUGGUUGCAGAAAAGGCUUUUGGUUUGUAAAUACCAGAUUUGGACCUGGUUUGCAUAAGGUGAGUAUUAGUAUGAACCGAGUGAGAUGUAGGUAUAAGAGAUAUAGGUAUAAAGGUUGUUAGAGAAUAUAGGAGAUUGAGAUGAUGGUAUAGGGGAAUAGAUCUGUGGUUAAGUGAAUGUGAGGUGCAUGGGAAUGGUAUUGAGAGAUGAAGCUGCUACUGAGGAAAGAGAGCACUGUGAAGCUACAAUAGUGUGAAAGGGAAAAUUGCCUUUAUCAAAGAUCACAUUUCGUGAGAUGUAUAACUUGUUGCUAGUGAGAUCCAAACAUUUGUAACCUUUGUGGUUGAGGCUAUAACCAAGGAAUACACAGAGCUUGCUUUUGGGAUCCAAUUUAGACUCAUAGUAAGGUUGCAACCAUGGAAAACAACUACCCCCAAAAACCUUCAAGGUGGCAUAGUUAGGUGAUAUGUGGAAGAGACGUUCCUAUGGAGACAAUCUGGAUACAGUAGGUAAUCUGUUUAUGAGAAACAUAGCAGUGGAAAAAACAUGAUCCCAAUAGCUGUGAGGGACCUUAGAAACUGUUAAAAGUGUUCUGGCAGUCUCAACUAUGUAUAUGUGCUUAGGUUCAACACAACUAUUCUGUUGAGGGGUGUAUAGAUAACUUAGUCAAUGAUUGAUACCAUUCUCAAUAAAGAAAUUAGAGCAUUGAGUGCUAAGAUAUUCCCCACCAUAAUAUGAUCUAAGAGCAGCAAUUUUAGUAUGCAACAAGUUCUCAACAAGACUUUUGAACUUAACAAAAGUAGGAAACACAUCAGAUUUAUAUUGCAAAGACAAAGCCAACAAUAUUUUGUAAAAUCAUCUACAAAUAUGACAUAGUAUCUGAAAUUGUUCGCAGAAAUGAUAGAUGUUGGCCCCUAAACAUCUGUGUGAAGUAGCUCUAAAGGUUUACUGGUAUGAAAAGUAUCUGGAAUUGUUCACAGAAGUGACAGAUGUUGGCCCCCAAACAUUUGUGUGAAGUAGCUUCAAAGGCUUACUGGUAUGACAAGUUACAUAAGCAAAUGGCAAUCUAGAACUUUUGCUUAAGGUACAACCAUUACAGAAAGACUUAUUGGAACCAUUAGAAAAAGAAAUAAAAGACUUAGUAACCAACUUAUUGAGAAUCUUCACCGAAUGAUGGCCAAGUCUUUGGUGCCAAAUAUUUUUGGAUGUGUUAACAGAAGCAGCAAACACAUUGUGAUUAUGGAUCACAAAACUGGAAGGCUGUGGUUGAAAUGGAUAGAAGCCAUCUCUCACAGGACCUUUAAAGAGCAUCUUCCCCGAAGAAAUAUCCUUCACAGUGAAAUGAAAAUGAUAAAGAUACAUAGAACACCAAUUGUCAACAAGAAACGGAUUUGCAGAAAGCAAAUUUUGUUUCAAAUCAGGAACAUGUAACAUAUUUCGAAGUUGAAAAUUAUGAUGAGGAGUAUUUAAUGUAGAAAAACCAGAGUGGAGAAUAGGAAAACCUUUAAAAAGUGUUGUAAGAAUUGGUCAUGUGAAUACUAGCACCGGAGUCAACAAUCCAAGUAAGUUGAGGAGAAUGUGUGCUUGCAGCCAUAACAGAAUGAGAAACAUUGCUGGAAUAAUGUGGAUUCAUGCGCUGGGGACACUCGAUUGCAUCAUGCUCAAACUAGCGACAAAUUUGGCAUGGAAUCCUCCUUCCUGAGAAAUUGAAGGAUGAUCAACCACCACGGUUGUAGUGCUGAGAAUUGUUGGGAGAAGAAUUUGGACAAUUGUUGUUAGAACGGAAGUUGCUUCGUCCCUGAAAGUUUCUAGGGUUGGAGAAACCAUGAUCGCCACCACGACCUUGAGAGAAAUUAUGAUCACCACCACGACCUGGAGGAUUAUGUUAAGCAACAAAAUCCUGAGAAGGCGAAGUAGGAAGAAUGCCGGCGGUGGAGUUGUAUGCCUGAAUUGACACUAUCGAAGUAGUUUUCUUCCGAUUUGUUAGCUGAAUCUCUUUAUUGAGAAGGAGACCAUGCAGCAUCAAGUGUGGUGGAACCAAGUCGGAAUUGUAUCGCAUCAACAAAGAUUCGUACUCUGGUGGUAACUCAUGAUGUGUGAUAGAGGUUAAUUCAGAAUCCUCAACUGGAGCACCGACACUAGCAAAAGCAUCAGUGAUCUCUUCAAUUUGUUGAGGAUAUUGGGCAGCUAUGGAAUCGCCAUUCGAAAUGCUGUGCAGACAUGAUCAGAGCUCGUGGAUGUACAAUUGAGACGUCGUCGCAAGGCGUGACUCCAAUCUUGCCUAAAGCUCUCUGGAUGUAGUAACUCCAACAGUGUAAGGUUGAUCGAUUUAGAGAACGUGGAAUUGAUCCAAAUGAGGAUGUUCUUAUCGUUCUCGAACCAAUAAACAUAUGCCGGAUUCAGAAUUUGAUUUCCAACAGCAUCAGUGAUGAAUUAAGAUGGAGGAGGCAUCGAUCCAUCAAGAAUUCUAGUGAGAUUAUAGUGAAGGAAGAUCGGAGCAAACAAUGCACUCAAGGUGAGAUAAUUGGUCGGAGUCAGCUUGAUCGGCACCAUGGAUCUGAUAUUCUAGAUCGUGAUUGAAGGUGUGGAAAGAGUAUAACUCGAAUUUGAAAGAGGAUUACGAUGAAUUUGUGUUACAAAUUCGGAAGAGGGAGAAGCUGAGGUCUCCAUGGGAGAAAGUUAGGGUUUGGCAGUGAAAGCUUAGCGAAGAAGCUUAGGAAGGAAGAAAGCUUAGCGAAGAAGCUGGAGAAGGGAAAGCGUGGAUUGGAUCAAGUCGGUAGACAGAAGGUGGGUGAUACCAUGUUAGACAAAAUUAAUUUCAUUGAUUAAGAGAAUAAAAUUACAAUGUUGUGGUGUGUGUGUGUGUGUGUGUGUGUGUGUGUGUAUAUAUACUUUCACAUAACUCUAACCUUCUAACCACCUUGCCACCUAUACAACAAUCUCAACUAAUUACUAGUCUAAUACAACAAUCACGACAAACUAAGUAGCUUUAAGUUUUAUCACCAAUUGAAUCUUUAACAAUACUAUCCUUAACACAUUCUGCCAAUGGCUCCAACAACAUGCUUGAUUUGAAUAGCUUAUAGGAUGCCAGUAUGACUGCUAUCAGCGACAGAUUUCCCGGGCUCGAAAAUCUGAGCUUAAUCUGGUGCUCCAAUGCCUUUAGUAUCGGUCUAAUUUUGCUGAUAAGUGUAAAUUGUUGAAAUCAUUGGAUUUGUUAGAGUUGAAUUUGAAUGCUUGAAGCCUGCAAUUCUUCGUUUGAAUACUUAACUAGAAAUUAUUGGUACAUUCCUAAAUGGGUUACAUUUGGGGUACUGUCUUGCAAUCUUGUUUUGAAUACUACCCCAAACUUUUUUUUUGAACAAACGAUAUUAUCUACACCAAUGAUGACUACAAUCCCCUGAGUUUAUCUUUUGUUGACCCUAAAAACUAUUUGGGCCUAAACACCUUCCCAUGUAUGCCUCUUAGCCACCAAAAUAAUCCAUCAGCUAGCUCAAUUUGCCCUUCACAGUAGUUGUUUUUGUUGUUUAGUUAAGGAUUUCUAGAAAUUAGAAACUUUUUUUUUUUGUUCCCUCAUUUAUGGCUUGUUAAUACAAGCUAUCGUUGCAUACAUAUAAAAAAAAAGAAAGAUGUAGCCUUAAGCCAACCAUAUUUUUUAAAAUUAUUAUUAUUAAAUGGACGAUUCAAAACUUUUAUAAUAACUUAGAUGAGGAGGGAUGUUCGAACCUAACACGCAAGGUACAAAUCAACUUCCAAUCUACUAGGAUAAUGGACCACAUGCAUUAUGCCUAACCAUAUAAAUAUCAUGGAUUGAUAGCCUUACUCGAUAAUUUCUUGUAAAACGAUCUUUGAAUCUCAAAAAUUGGUAAAAUUUAUUUAUUUUAAUACAUUCGAUAUUAUCUAUACUAAAGGGUCGAAGAAUGGCCAAACCUCACAGCGGCUAGUAAUAUUUCUUUUGUUUUAAUGCCUUUAGUCACAUGUAUAAGGAAAUUUAUAUUUCGUUCAUUCACUAAUCACCCAAGAAUCAUAUUCAUAAAGUAAUUAUCCAAAAUUUAAAACAAAACACCAAUAAAUAAUCCAAAUACAUAGAAAAAAAGUAAUGCUAGGAAGGCUAAAUUUGUAAACAAAAUUUGCAAACCAAAUGAUGUGUCACCAAUAAGGAAUGAUCACAUUUAUCCUUUUUUAAUUAAUAAUCCAAUCAACAACUUCAAUGUCAUUUAAUUCACAAAAUUGUCUUUAAAUUUAGUCUCCCUAAGGACCCUAACAUUACUCCAUAGAAAAUUGUUGAAAAACUUGAACCAAAUAUUAAGAGGGCGUUUAGCCAAUAGGGGGAACUCGGACACAUGUUGGUCCCUGUUUAAAAGUUUUAAUCUUCCAUCGGUGUAGAUGACUUUUGAAAAUAAAAAAACUACAUAGUGGAAUGUUCGGGAUUAUCAACUUGAACAAAGUUAGUCUGUAUGACUUUACGACGUGAAUGAUACUUAGCAACAACAUGAGCAAGUGCUCGGCAAAUGCAUGACCAAUAGUCCUUGGAACCACAACGGUAACAUAUGUCUAUUUCUAUGGUGGUUGUGCCUUACCUUUAUUCUUGAGGUUGAAAGAUUUGGGAUCUAGAGAAUCGCGCUUUGAAACCACAACGGUAACACAUGUUUAUUGGACCCCAAAAGUGUGGCAAGCGGCGUUCGUUAUGGGAAGCUGAGAUAUCCACCAAAACAUGAAGCCACAGGGUAUUCUCUUGUUUACAAUCAGCUCCACCCUUUUGAAGGCUUCCAAAAUUACACUUCCGGAAUCAUCCACCAUGUUCGUCUCACAGGUUUGAUUUCGUUUACUUCUUAUUUUCUUCAAAGUUUCAAUGGAGAAUUACAAAGUUGGGUUUUGCUGAAAUGACUGAACUUUUAAAUCCCCCAAACAUAAGUUUUGAUGGAAUGUGGUUCUUCUGAUAAGUUGGUGAUCUAAUUGUUGUUUUGAUGUAGGGUUGAAACUGAAUACACUGUAUUUUUAACGAUGCGGGGAUCCUUCUAUACCUGCAAUGAGUGAAAUCCACCAGUUCAAGACUAUGUCAGUUUCUGGUCCUCGGAGCUACCCUGAGAGAAUAGCGGUUGUGGGAGACAUUGGCCUUACAACACAACUACCACAAUAAGUCACUUGACAAGUAACAAUCCUGAUCUUGUUUUGUUGAUUGGUGAUGUUACUUAUACAAACCUCGACCACACACAAAUGGAACUGGCUCUGACUGCUAUUCUUGCUCAUUUCCAAACUCUCCGAUACAUGAGACCUAUCAGCCUCGAUGGUUUUACUGGGGAAGGUUAAAAUAUAAAUUGCUUUAUUUCUAUCAUAGGCAAUGGCUGCUGUAAAUUAUGGCAUAGAACUUGUUUUCUUAUGUUGUCAUUGCUGGGUAAUUUGUGUAGGUAUAUGCAGAGUUUAGUGUCCAAAGUUCCAAUAAUGGUUGUUGAAGGGAACCAUGAAAUAGAAGAACAGACUGAAAAUAAGACUUUUGAGGCUUAUAGUUCUCGGUUUGCAUUCCAAUCUGAAGAAAGCGGAUCUUCGUCCACAUUCUACUACUCAUUUAAUGCAGGGGGGAUUCAUUUUAUCAUGCUUGGAGCCUACACUGACUUUAGCAAAUCAAGUAAUUAAAGUUUGCCUAAUUUUUGAGCUCAUUCCUUGCCUAAAUAUUCGUAUUUUUGCAUUUCUUUUUCUUUACAAAUGGUUUCGUUAUUGUUUCUAUCCCCAUUAAUCAGUGAUUUCUUUGCCUACAGGGAAACAAUACAAGUGGCUGGAGCAAGAUUUGGCUAAUGUGGACAGAUCUGUUAAAAGUUAAUGCUUUACUUAAACUGAUUCUGCUAUACUGAAACUGAUUCUGUGUAAAAGGGCUGACUGUUGCCUUUAUCAGUCGACCCAUUCUCUUUCUCAGUCGACCCAAUUACUUCAGUCGGCUUAUGUAUUGAGCCAUAUAUAUCAGAAAUAUCUGAAUGAAAAUAUCAAAUCUCUGUUUUAAGUAAAAAACAUCAGCCCUCUGUUUCCAAAAAAGCUCUCUGCACUCUGUUUCUUUGAUUUUCAAUCUUUAUCAUUUUAUUCAAGUUUUAUUAAUGAUGAAAGAUUGUCUAAUACCAACAUGGUAUCAGAGCCAAUCUGAUCAAAGAGUGGGGCGUUUUUUUUUAUUCUCAAAAAAGGGGAAAAUUCCAAGUGAAACCCUAGAAUCAAAAUUUUUCAAAUUCAUGGUUGGUUCAAGUAGCAGUGGUGAGAUUCGAACUCCUAUCUUCAGUGGAGUAAACUACGACUUCUGGAGGACAAAGUUGAGAACAAUUUUUGUAUCUCAUGAUUUGUGGAGCUUGAUUGAAGAUGGCUAUGUUGUACCUCCAAGCAAUGUGGUUUUGACAGAGACUCAAACAAGGGAGUUGAAGGUAAACAUCAAGAGAGAUGCAAAAGCUCUUGGGGUCAUCCAAAAUGCUAUCUCAGAUGAAAUUUUUCCGAGAAUCUCAAAUGAGACAAGUGCCAAAUCAGCUUGGGAUAUGCUGGAGAAAGUCUACAGAGGUUCUACUAAGGUAAGGGCUGUCAAACUCCAAUCUUUGAGAAGAGAUUUUAAGUAUAUAAGAAUGAAAGAUGAGGAAUUGCUAGAUGAUUACCUGAGUAGAUUGUCUGAGAUUAUUAAUCAAAUGAAAAGCUAUGGUGAAAUCUUGUCUGAUGAGAGAAUAGUUCCGAAGUAUCUAAUUAGCUUGCCAAGAAAGUAUGACAACAUAGUUUCAAUCAUAGAGGAGACUAAGGAUUUGUCAACUUUGAGUGUUGAAGAAUUGAUUGGUUCUCUCAAAGGUUUUGCUCAGAGAUUAUCUAGGCAUGACAACAAUGAUGUAGAAAAUGCUUUCCAAACACUUACAGUGAAUCCAAAAACUCAAGCUAGUUCAAGUCAAAGCAAAGCCAACUCCAACAAGAAUUGGAAAGGCAAAAACAAAGCGUGGGAAGGAAAGGGUAAUUUUGAAGACAAGAAAAAGGUUGAGAAGAGUUUGUAUGUUUCGAAGUGCAAAAUUUGUGACAAAGCUCAUUCCGGUGAAAUUGGUUCAAAGGAAAAGUGAAAUGCCACAAGUGUAGCAAAUUCGGGCAUAUGCAAAAGGAUUGUACCUACAAAGAUAAUCAGCUAGCUCACUACACCAAAGCAGAAGAUGAAGAGACCAAUAUGUUUUAUUUUGGUCAUGAUACAACCGUCCAAGAAGAAGCUAAAGUUUGGUUUGUGGACAACGGCUGUAGCAAUCAUAUGACGGCGAAUAAGAACAUUCUCCAUAAUGUUGACACUACAAACCUAACCCGAGUGAAGAUGGGAAAUGGGCAGCUAGUCGAUACAUUGGGAAGAGGUACUAUUGCCGUGCAUACGAAGAAUGGAAAGAUGUUCAUCAAGGAUGUCAUGUUAGUUCCUGAUUUGAAGCAAAAUUUGCUAAGUCUUGGACAACUCAUUGAGCAUGGCUACUACUUAUAUUUUGGAGACAAUACUUGCAAGAUAUAUGAUACGAGGAAUCGUCAAUAACUCGUGGCUAAGAUUGAGAUGAGGAAGAGUAGAAGUUUUCCUCUCACAAUUGAGUAUGCAACUCAAUCUGCAUUCAAGAUGGAAGUGCAAGAAGAUUCAAAGCUAUGGCAUAAAAGGCUUGGCCACUUGAAUUUUCAAAGUCUCAAGAAGCUACAAGAAAAAGAAAUGGUGCAUGGGUUGCCGAGUAUCCAAGAAAAUGAAGAAAUCUGUGAAAGGUGUGCACUUGGGAAGCAUCAUAGAGAUUCAUUUCCACAUGGUAAAGCUUGGAGAGCAAAAGUUCCAUUGGAAUUGAUUCAUACAGAUGUUUGUGGACCCAUGAAGACCUCUACUCAAGUGGGAAACAAGUAUUUCCUAAUCUUCGUGGAUGAUUAUUCCAGAAUGACUUGGGUAUACUUUCUAAGACAGAAAUCAGAAGUGUUCUCAAUCUUCAAGAAGUUUCAAGCUAUGGUUGAGCGACAAUCUGGGUAUCUAAUCAAAGUUCUUAGAAGUGACAGAGGAGGAAAGUAUACAUCCACAGAAUUUGAUAAGUUUUGUCAAGAUAUUGGCUUGGAAAGACAACUUACUGUCAGCUACACUCCACAACAAAAUGGAGUAGCUGAGAGAAAAAACAGAACCAUAGUCGAAAUGGCUAAGGCAAUGUUACAUGACAAGGGAAUACCUCAAUAUUUAUGGGGUGAGGCAGUUAAUACAGCGGUCUACUUGAUGAAUAGGCAUCCAACAGUGGCAGUUGAAGAUAAGACACCAUUUGAGGCAUGAAGUGGAAGAAAGCCUUCCGUGAAUCAUUUGAGAGUGUUUGGGUCAAUCUGCUUUGCUUAUGUUCCGAAAGAACUAAGACAAAAACUUGAUGAGUCAAGUGAAAGAUGCAUUUUCGUAGGCUAUGCUUCAUACACAAAAGGGUACAGACUUUACAAUUUAAAAAGGAAGAAAGUUGUGAUUUGUAGAGAUGUUCUUUUUAGUGAGAAAUCUUCGUGGGAUUGGAAUCAAGCAACCAUCUGAGAAAAAUCUGUACAAAUCAGAAUUGAAGAAGAAAAUCAACCAAAUGAAGAGGAAAUUGAGCCAGAAAUUCCACAAUUAUCACCUGAAAACAGUCCUCAAACUCACUCUCCUACAUUUUCAAGUCCAAGUUCAACGCCGGUUCGAUUAAGGAGCUUAAAUGAAGUCUAUGAAAGCUGCAAUUUUUGUGUUGAAGAACCAGAAAACUUUGAUGAUGCAGUGAAAGAAGAGACUUGGAAGGCUGCAAUGCAAGAGGAGAUCAAUGUCAUUGUGAAAAACAAGACAUGGGAACUAGUGGACAGACAUUGUGACAACUCCGUCAUUUGAGUGAAGUGGAUUUAUAAGACUAAGCUCAAUCAAGAUGGUUCCGUUCAAAGGAACAAAGCUAGAUUGGUAGCAAAGGGUUAUUCUCAGAAACCCGGGAUUGAUUUCCAAGAAACAUUUGCACCGGUAGCUAGGCAUGAAACAAUCAAAGGCCUUAUUUCCGUAGCUGCUCAGAAGGGGUGGUUUCUACACCAACUUGAUGUCAAGUCGGCUUUCCUAAAUGGAGUCCUAAAAGAAAAGGUGUUCGUUGACCAACCUCAAGGAUUUGUUCGUAAAGGACAAGAGCACAAGGUGUAUAAACUUAAGAAUGCACUUUAUGGCUUGAAACAAGCUCCGAGAGCAUGGUAUGGAGAGAUCGACUCAUAUUUCAAUGAAAGAGGUUUUCAAAGAAGUGAGAAUGAACCUGCCCUCUAUGUCAAAACAGAAGGUAUUUCAGAUAUCCUUAUUGUUUCCUUAUAUGUUGAUGAUUUGGUUUAUACUGGAAGUAGUCGUAAUAUGAUCUUGAAUUUCAAGAAUGACAUGAUGAGGAAAUAUGAGAUGAGUGAUCUACGCAUGUUGCAUUAUUUUUUGGGAAUUAGUAUCAUUCAAUCAAAUGAUGGUAUCUUUAUUACUCAAAAGAAAUAUGCAAAAACACUUCUAGAAAAGUUCAAAAUGGUUGGUUGCAAGCCUGUUGCAACACCUCUAGUUGUGAAUGAAAAGUUUCAAAGAGAAGAUGGUAAUGGUGAUGCUGAUGAAUCUGUGUAUAGAAGCCUGGUUGGGAGUUUGUUGUAUUUGACAGCGACUAGACCCGAUAUUAUGUAUGCUGCAAGCUUGUUGUCCAGAUUUAUGCACAAGCCUACUUGCAUUCACUAUGGAGCUGCAAAGAGGAUCCUAAGAUACAUACAAGGUACACUUGACUUUGGUAUUAUGUAUGAAAGGAAUGUUAAGCCCAAAUUGUAUGGGUUCUGUGAUAGUGAUUGGGGAGGUAGUGUGGAUGACUUGAAGAGCACAUCUGGCUAUACUUUUACAUUAGGGACUGGUGUAUUCUCUUGGGCAUCUAAGAAACAGAAAUCAGUUGCACUAUCAACGGCAGAGGCUGAGUAUGUGUCGGCUUCAAUUGCAACUUCUCAAGCAGUGUGGCUGAGAAGAAUUAUGCAAGAUUUUGGUGAGAAACAAGAAUCAGCAACUCAUAUCUUUUGUGACAAUAAGUCAGCUAUUGCCAUGAGCAAGAAUCCUGUCUGUCAUGGUAAAUCAAAGCAUAUUGCUCUGAAGCAUCACUACAUCAGAGGUGCUGUGAAAGACAAGGAAGUGGAUGUGGUCUACUGCAAGACAGAAGAUCAAGUUGCUGAUAUCUUCACCAAGGCAUUACCAAAGGACAGAUUCAUCUACCUAAGAGAACUUUUGGGAGUGAAGCAGCAAAGCAUUAAGAGGGAGUGUUAAAAGUUAAUGCUUUACUUAAACUGAUUCUGCUUUACUGAAACUGAUUCUGUGUAAAAAGGCUGACUGUUGCCUUUAUCAGUCGACCCAUUCUCUUUAUCAGUCGACCCAAUUACUUCAGUCAGCUUAUGUAUUGAGCCAUAUAUAUCAGAAAUAUCCGAAUGAAAAUAUCAGAUCUCUGUUUUAAGUAAAAAGCAUCAUCCCUCUGUUUCCAAAAAAGCUCUCUGCACUCUGUUUCUUUGAUUUUCAAUCUUUAUCAUUUUAUUCAAGUUUUAUUAAUGAUGAAAGAUUGUCUAAAUACCAACAAGAUCCACAACUCCCUGGUUGCUAGAUACUUGGCAUCAUCCCUGGUAUAGUACCUAUGAGGUCCAUUACAGAGAGGCAGAAUGUAUGAGGUUGGAAAUGGAAGAGCUUCUGUACUCUUAUGGUGUAGAUAUAGUGUUCAAUGGACAUGUAAGUAACGAUAACCACCAAUGAUUGUCACAAUCUUUGAUAGGUAACAGGUUUCUUUCUUAUAGCCAGAAACUAUGUGGAAGAAGUGGUAUAAGGGUUCUUCGAUUGAGGCUUUCUUUCAUACCAGUAACCAGAUAGUGAUAGAAAGCUAGAAGGAACUGCAGUUUACGCUUUAAACUUUUGAGAAAACAAAUUUAAUAUGAAAUUAAUUGGUACUUGGUUCCCUUAUUGCUAAAACACAUAACACAAACUUAUUUGAAACGCUAUCAGAAACAAUGACCUUAUCUUGAAACUCGUAUCACAGCAGUACCAUUUGGUUCCGAUCCCAAGCAUGAUUUUAUUAAGUUGUCCUUAGUGUCUAUGAAUGAUGACAAUUUUCCUCAUUGUAACUAAAUAUCUUUUCGCUUUAAAGUGCACUGAAUGUUCUUCUGUUUUCUUGAAUAAAACAAUAGGUUCAUGCCUACGAGCGAUCGAAUCGAGUUUAUGAUUACAACUUAGAUCCCUGUGGUCCUGUAUAUCUCACCGUUGGUGACGGGGGUAAUCGGGAGAAGAUGGCAGUUCAACAUGCUGACGAACCUGGUCGUUGCCCAGAGCCAUCAACUACUCCUGAUCAACACCUAGGUGAUGGUGCCUUUUGUGCAGAGAACUUUACCUCCGGCCCAACAGCAGGUAAAUUUUGUUGGGAUCGGCAACCGGAUUACAGUGCUUUCAGAGAAAACAGCUUUGGCCAUGGGAUCCUUGAGGUACUCCUUUUUCUGUGUUUCUGUUUGGCAAAUAUUCAGUCUGACAAUGCAUUCAAUUGUCUAGAAACGUUAUACUUUAAUUUGUAUGACCCUACACUACAUAUGAUACAACUUGAAAAUGAUUGAUGGAAAGAUGAGCAUGUGCUUGACUGUCAAUGUGCAUAGAAAGACCACACAUGGGUAAAUGUUAUGGAACCAGUUUAAAUCAUUUUUACCAUUCCACUGCAAUGUCAAGAGAAAAUCACUUAGCACCAAUAUCUGUUUAUACAGAGUGCGAAAAUCCUGUGACUGACUUGAAUACCCUUGAUCGGUUAUUGAGUAGCAAACAUAUAGAUGUAGGCUAGUAGGCUACCUGGAUUAUACACUAAGCGUGCAUUUUGAUGUGCAUAACUUGCAGGUGAAGAAUGAGACUUGGGCUUUGUGGACAUGGUACCGGAACCAGGACUCCGACAAUAAAAUUGGAGAUCAAAUUUAUAUAGUGAGGCAGCCUGAUAAAUGCCGCAUCCGCCAUUUGUUCGAAAGUUGGCUUGCUGACCUCUAAUUCUCACUGCUGCUUGCUGGGAAAAAUUUAUUAUUAAGAUCCCAAAUCAAUUGACCAUUCUUAUCUAGAUAGGAAUAGGAUGGAAGGUUGCAGAAAGAGUAGGAAGAUGGGGUUUCACCUAUGUAUACACACUAUAUAUAAGUGGAGGGGGUUUGGGGGGGUGGGGGGUGGGGGAGGGGGCGGGGAGAGAGAGAGAGAGAGCACAGAAGAAGAGCAACUCCGCUGUUGUUGUAUGUAAAUGAUAAAAUCUCGUUUAUACGUCUCCUUUGUAACUUGAAUAUAUACUCUCUCAACCAAUUUAUACAACAACAAACGUGUAAGAUUGGUUCCUGGAGCAAUUUCGGAUAUUGAAUUCUAAACUAAUUGCGUAUUUUGUUGAGUUAUCAAAAAUUUCCCCUCCCCUUAUUGUGAAGCCGAGAAAUUGUUGGAAGUGACUUUUAUACUGUCACAUGGUGUUACCAGUUCACUGAUGUUAUGGUGGUACUGCUUAAAAGGGUGGCGUUUCGACAAAAUCCUUAGCUCGCGAGCUCACAAUGCACCCCGUCCAUAAGUCAUUCGGAGUUUGGACGGAACGAUGAGGUUCGCUACUACCUCCGUACAAAAAACCUUCAACAACUUCCCGUUCAUUGUAUUCUCCAUUAAAUUCCAGGCCAGGGGUUCCACCUCCAUCUCAUAGAGAUUAUCAUCACCUGUUGUUUCUGUGAAUAAUGUAAAUUUCUUACCAAAACAUUUGUAAUAUUGUGCCAAUUAUAUUAUAUAUUUGCAGGAUGCAUAGCAAUUUGGUGUCAGUAAAACUUUGUCUGCCGCAUAUUUGAUCAUGUUUUAACUUCGGAAUUUCAUGGUCUUGUUAAUUUUGACGGAUUUUGAAAGGCUUUUAAAACAAAUUAGAAUCAAACUUUCGAAUUUACUACCCCAAACAAAUUGCACUGCAAAUUACCAUAAUCAGAAUUCAUCAGGUCAUGUACGUACUACAUAACAUUUACUUAGGAUAUGAAAUGGUGAGAUCGAUAAAUUCGAAAUCAUCAUUAUAUUGUUGUUCUUAUUACAUUAAUAUAGAUAUAUGUAGCCACUAUAUAUACCUAUUAGAGUGAAUACGAUACCAAUGCCCCACAAUUUGUUGUCCUGACACAAUCGACCGGAUUCGCUGCGUUGUAGUCAAAACAGAUGACGACUUCCUGCAGAUACGCGAUCCCCCCGUCCUUCUUGCACAUAAGAAGAGGUGUUUUCCCUCCUAUAGUCCGUCGAAUGGCCGAUUCAAGGUCGAUGUAAUGAUAUUGAUAUCCUGGUACAAUCCCAGUUGUUUGAGAAAAUAGAUGUUGUGCAUUGUAGGUCAACCAUAAUCUAUGAGCUUCGUGGAAGUAUUGUGUCUGGGAAAAUUUAUUGUCCGAGCACCUGCCGUGCUUGUUGUACUCAUGCGCCCAGAAAUCCAUAUUUGUCCGUCUAUUGUUGAAGCUGGGCCAGGAAUUGGACAAAAGUAAUUGCAGAUUAUGAUCAGCAAUCAUCUGAAGCACAAAGACGAGAAGUUACAAGCAUUUCAGAGAGCUGCAGGAGAAAAAAACAAACUGAAAUGAGUAUAUAUAUUCAAUGUGUACCUGAUUUCUGUUGAAUAGGGUGCCAGCGCAGAGUAUAGGUGCAGAUGGAUCGGUAAAGUUGCUCGGCCAGAGGCCGUGUGUCGUAAAGGUAUGCCGUAGAACUUGUUGGUUUCCACAAAUUCCAUUCCCAAGGCAGAAGACGUAUUGGAAGAUAUCAUAUGGUGUGGCAGCAUUGCUCUUUCCGACAUAAGUGACGAAGCAAAGAGCGAUGACAACGAGAACAUGUUGUGCGGAAGCGUCAAAUGUGAAACCAAUAAACUACAACGGCAAAAUAUGAUAAACUACAAUGGCAAAAUAUGAUAAGACAAAUAAUCUAAAUAACACAAGGAUUUAUACUGGUUCGGCGUAAGCCUACGUCCAGUUCCGAGACGGCGAGGAAAUUCCACUAAUAUCAAAAGGAGAUUACAAAUAGAGUUCAACACUCAAACCCAAAUCCCACAUACACCCAAUAGCUUUCACUCAUAUAAAGAACAAAUAGAGAAGAAGAAACACAUACCAAAUCCUUCUCUCCCAAAAGCCACAAAAUGUAGCAAUAUAUCUUUGAAUGAAUGAUUGCACAAAUGGAGAACAGUAAAACAGCAGCACUCAAUUUUCUUCUCUAUCGGCUGCUCUCUGUUUUCUGCUAUAUGCUGCCGCUGAGUUUCUGCUCUCUUUUUUCUGCUAUCUGCUGCCGCUGAGUUUCUGCUCUCUUUACUGACCAAAAGGCAUGAAUUGCCUUAUAUAAGGCUGGUGCCUUUUAAUUAAACCCUAGCUGCCAUGUGGCUUUCAAAUGGGUAACAAAAGGCCAAACCUAUUUGGGUUUGAGACAAAAAACUAAAGGCCCAAGAAGUAUUGAGCCACAAAAUCCAACAGAACAAUCUUGAAGAAGUGCAUGGUUGUCAAGCAAUUAUCAAAAGAACAAAGGGAGGGAGGGAGGAUGGGAUGAGAAAUAACAAGGAAAGCUAAAGAGUGAAUGAAGUGUGAAUUUUCAAAGAAAUGAAGAGGUGUUUAAAUAGUUAGAGUUGAGGUUAAGGGUAGGGUUUGGAGAAAUUAAUUAAGGUGAAGCUAACUAGCAAAGAUGAUAAUAAUUAAGGUCAAGUAAGUGUGAACAGAUCCUGAACUAGGGAAUGCCUCUUUCUUGUUAUGCAAGGCUUUGCAUUCUCAUAUGCAUGCUAUAAAGGGUGGUAACCGUGUAGUGGUUGAUUCAUCAACAACCCAAUCAACCCAAUUAUAGCGGUUCCUCAUAUAUCAGAUUCAGACCCCAAGCAAGCUAAUAGUCUCAAUUUUUAGAUUAUAAUUCUAUUUGAGAAAGCCAUUCAGGACCACGCUAGCUAAAUAUGGUUCCAAUCGAAUAUAAACAGAAACGAUUUGGACAUUGUUUAUGUAUCUUAUCUUGUAAAUUGAAGUUUCAACCACUACCUUCUAGCAGUGGUAAUUCUUAUCUUUGAAAUUUUGGAGCUCUCCUCUCCUCUUCAUGGUUUCUAUUCAACUUACUUAUCCCGGUUGCAGAUAAUUAAUUAACUUGUGGAUUAAGUAAAUAGCUAUUUCAAUUUGCUGCUACUCACCCUGGAGCUAGCCUUCGGACCGGGGAAAUCAUAUUGUCCUAUAGACACCCGCUUCGUCGCUGCAAGGCGACACCGCAGGGUGGAUAUCUGCGGGUACUCAUCAUUUCAUUUCAUGGUUGUAUUGCUUCACAUUUGCAGAUUGUUAACACAACAUGCCUUCUGUUUAGUUAAUUCAUUAAUCAAACAUGAUCAAAUAUACAACAUACAAAUUGUUAGAAUUGAGGUCAAGUGUAGAGUGUAGAGAAAGAUUAAGUUGAAGCUAGCUAGCAAAGGUGAUAAUAAUUAAGGUCAAGUGAGUGUGAACACAUUCGGAAUUAGGGAAUGCAUCUUUCUUGUUGCCCACGGCAAUGCGUUCUCAUGCUAUAAAGGGUAGUAACUGUGUAGUGGACGAUUCAUCAUCAACCCAAUUAUAUAAAGUGGUUCAUCAUAUAUCAGAUUCAAACCCUAAGCUAGCUAGUAGUCCAAAUUUUAGAUUAUAAUUCUGUUUCAAAAAUCCAUUCAGGACAACGCUAGCUAAACAUGGUUCCGAACGAAAAAAUACAGAAACGAUUUAGGCAUUGCUUGCGUAUCUCAUCUUGUAAAAACGUACAACUUACAAUACACUUAAUUUCGAACAUUGUUUGAGUAUCUCAUCUUCUUCGUUGAAAGGCAACACCGCAGGGUGGAUAUCUGCGGGUAGCCAUCAUUUCGUUUCUUGGUUGUAUUGCUUCAUAUACUCGUAAAUUUUUAUCGACUCCAAGUUUCUUAAAGACAUCCAUAAUUUGAACAACAAAAGGAUUUCAUUACUUUCGAUAUCUACGUACACAUGUACUUGUUGUUGCCUUCCGUGACCGAAACCAUACUCUUCACAUAUACAACGGGCGAAUGAUUUGCUUUGCACAGUGGCAAAUAAUACGGUUGCGGAGGAAAAAUGGGAUUGAUCCUUACAGCACUUUGAAUGGGAAGAUUUUUAAGCUUCUUAGUACGGAAGUUAUAGCAGACUAUGCCUCCAUUUUCCUCUACUGUAAGAACCUCUUCGCUUUUCCACAUUGGCAAGCCUCCAUUUCCCUCUACUGUAAGAACCUCGUCGCUUUUCCACAUUGCCAAUGUGGAGUACAGGGGCAAGAGGGACCUUGAGAAUGAUGGGAUCUUGGCAGCAAAGUGUUUUGUCCAAACACCACCCGCAUUUUUCGGACCACCACCAGAAUCAUCAUCCAUUAGCCACAUUUCAAAGGGUGGUGUAUCACCAUCUUCAAAGGUAUUACAAUUCAAGCGAAAGAGAGCGAUGGAUUCAUUCCACACCUUAAGACGCAUUUCAAUACCAAAUCCUUCGAAAUUGUUGAACUCUACCAUCUCAUGUGGUAACAGUAUGUCAUGAAACACCUCACGACUCAUGUCAAACCAAACGAUCACUCGCCUAAUUUUUUUCUUGCUCGGGAUAGGUGACAUCAUAGCUAUCGGCAAAUUCCUUUUGUUGCUCACUUCCUAUCCAAUAACACAUCCCCUUGAAGUACACCUGAAAAGUUUC